This 63009-nucleotide long non-coding RNA is filed under the name Ananas comosus (pineapple). RNAcentral's name for it is "long non-coding RNA (ACOM_LNC042150)". Lineage: Eukaryota; Viridiplantae; Streptophyta; Magnoliopsida; Poales; Bromeliaceae. The record is from RNAcentral.
GGGUGCCGCGGGAGGCCGAUUGCAAGUGUCGACAAGCAAUCGAAAUGCGAAAUGAGGUGGGUUGUGCUUACCGAAGCGACUAGAUCGCCUGUAUGUCUAAGUAAAGAGAUUUCAUAUUGAUGCAUGUUGACAUAUAAUAUAAAAUGCUAGAGGAAUGUAUAUUGACAUAAUGUAAGAAUGUGAAAAGAAUGCAUGUUAACAUAUUAUAGAAAUGCUAGAUAAACUCAUAUGAUUAAUGCUUUGAAUGCACAAGAUAAAGGGCAUAUGAAUGUUAACAUUAUAAGAAUAUGCUAAAAGGAAUGCAUAAUGAUAUGUUGUAGAACAUGCUAGAUGGAUGCAUGUAGUGAAUGCUAAAAGGAAUGCAUGCUAAUAAUGUAAUAUAAAAAUGCAAGAAUGCAUGAUAAUGUGAUGUAAAGAAUACUAGUUUUCAUAAGCAUGUCAUAUAUAUAUAUGUUAGAUAAUUACAUGAAGGCAUGGUUAGCAUUAUGAGGACUAUGAAAUACUCGAAUUGGACAACUAGGAUGUCAACUAGAUCGAGUGGCAUUGAGCCUAGUGUUAAUAAACAUAGGUUGGAUAAGAAUGACAUUGAACCUAGUGUUAGUAAACAUAGGUUGGAAUCAUAUGUGGCAUUAAACCUAGUGUUAAAGAACAUAGGUUCGACAUGAACCUAGUGUUAAAGAACAAUGUAAAUUGGUAAAGAACCAUGUGGGAAAUGAACGAAAGGUAUGGAUGUAAAUAAACCCUAUGUGCAUAUGAAUGCGAGAGAGUACUUGGACAAUAGUAAACAAUGGUGACAUCGACUAUAGAGAUUCGAUUGGCAUUGAAAAGAGAGUAGUUAAACAAGAUUUAACCCAAAGUGACUUUGAGGCAUUGAGAUAUGAGACAGAUUGGCUAUACCUCCUCAAAUUGAGGAUGGGAUCGUACUCACAUGUAUCGGUUCUAGCUUGUGCGAGGUCGCUCCUCUACAGGCGGUGUACUCCGGAGUAUAGACACCACGGGUGAGAAUGCCCGGCGAAGAUCCCUCGGAUGACAGUGCCUUGUGCCUUCCUCGGUAGACGGGAUGGAUCCCUCGGGGCAUUUCCUAAUGCUAAUCCUGGUAGAUGGGACAUGUGAGAUGUGAGCUUGGGGCGAACUUGAUGAACCCCGGAAAGAUUGGGUAAAGGCCAAAGUGAAUGUGUGAAAGUAUGCAUUAUGAGCUAGUGAAUUGAUAUCCCAGUUGAGUGGAUUUAUGGCUGAGGUGCAUGUGGGACGUCCUUCACCUCGAGCCUGGAUGUAUGCGGUAUUCCGCAGAUGAUUGACUCGAGACCGAGUCGGCUGGUUAGCUUGGCUAGGGUAGAGGAAAACCUUAGGAGCAAAUAGCCAAUGAUGUAAAGUGACAAGAUGUAUAAAUUAUGGAAAAGCUAUGGAUAGAAAGUAAAAUCAUUUACUUUACUUGUAUAGUUGCAUGGAUUUCAUAUUGCAUAUCGUGAGGCAAGGCAUGGUUUUAUUAGUUGCAUAAUAAAGAUAUAUAUCUAUCUGUUUAUUGAAAUAACUUGCAGUUGCCUCCCUUGGACCUAUUGGUCGAGCUCUUCCCUUGGGUGGCCGUACCCACUGGGAACCAUGGAGUUGGUUCUCACCCCACGUUGUUUUGGGGUGCUACAGGUUCACACGUGAGCAGCGCGGUGGCGCGAGGCAAGGGCGUAGUUCCAUAGUUAGCGCCCUACCACCGAGACAAGAGAUAGUGGUACCUUGAGUCGGCCUUACUUAGGGAUGCAAGAAAAUGAAAAGAAUCAAGUUGUAAUAAUAUUGUUAAAGCUAGAUUGUAUUUGGAAGCUAAAAAGAAUGUAUUAUGUAAUUGUAAUGUAAAAUGUAUCUAAAUAAUGUGAAUGCUUGUAAUAGCAAGUAGAUUAUGUUUUUGAUACUUCCUUAUACAAUCUUUGAUUGAAAUAUGUUCCUGGUUGGAACUUCGUACAUUGUAUUGAUUGCGACGCUUUGAAUGUAUAGGGGAGACUCUGUCCGCGGUACAGGAAAAAUCCUUUCCGUUCGGCGGUCUGUCGGGGUGCCCGAAACCGACCAAAUAUCCGGGGCUCGGGGCGUGACAGAUAAGAUGGUAUCAGAGCAUAAAAAGAACACAAAAAGAAAAAAUUAAUAGAAAAUGGUUUAGUUGGACCUAGGAGACCCUAGGAUAGCAAACCAUAGGAGAUUAAGGCUCGUGAGAGACGAGGACUUGUGACUUUUGGCGAAAGGUUAAUUGAUUGGAUUGUGUCAUAAACCUCUAAAACGGAUGUUAGGGGCUGUUUGGUUGUACGCAUUUGCAACUGCAGUGCAGUUGCAAAUGCGUGCAGCCACAAUUCCUUUGUUUGGUUUAGUAUAGUUGAGUUCAACUGCUGCAGUCCCAACUGCACAAGAAGGCCCAAAUGCUGCAGUUGGAACUACAUCCAAAUUGGUCGUAGUUCCAACUGCAGCAGUUGGUGAGGGAUAGGAUCACCCACAAAUUAAUAAUAAUAAAUAAAUAAAUAAAUAGCUAAAUAAAUAAAUAAUAUAUGUAUAUAGGUAAAUAAAAAUACUUAUAAAUAAACUCAUACUAAUAAAAUUUUUUAGACAAUACAAGCUUUGUGCAAAAAAUUAAUUUUUUUAAAUUUAUUUUAUUUAAAAUAUAAAUAUAGUUUUUUUUUCUAAAUUUUUAUAGAAUGUGAUCGUGUAUGUUAAUUUAAUAAGUUUUAAUUAAUUAUAAUUAUUAAAUUUGAUAAAAAAAAUGAGAGAAUCGUUUAAAUUUUUAAAGUUUGAUUUACAUAUUAAAAUUAAAUAAAUUAAAAAUUUUAAAUGUGUCGAUUAAUAAGUUGAAGAAUUAUUGAAAAAUAUAAAAAUAUUAUAUAUAUCUACUUAUUUAUUUAUAAAUAGUAAAUUUAAAUAAUUAAUAAAUUUAUACAAUUAUUUUAUGUUUAGUGAAGGUAACCUCACCACUUUAUCUGAAGAGGUGACAAAAUUCAUAAAUACAACUAUCAGCUUCAUAUUACCAAACAGAAGAAAUGUAACUGCAGCAGUUGUAACUGCGUAAAACCAAACAGACUAGGUGUAGUUAUAACUGCAGCAUUUGCUACUGCAUGUAUUUCCAACUACACUGUUUCUGCAACUACAUCCAACCAAACGGCCCCUUAGAGGUAGAUUCAAGGUGUGGUUUAUUCUCAACCGAGGGUGUUCAUGUUGGAUGCAUACAAUAUGAAACCGCGUAAUGAGAAUAAACGACCUUGCGUGACUUUCGCCCGAUUUGAGUCGGUAUUAAGUGUUUCGUGUUCGACCUAGAAGGUCGAGGAUUUAUAAAGUUGUCGCGUUUUAGGAAGCGAUAGCACUGUGUAGGCGAUCUUCAUUUAGAUCAGCGUGGGACGGGCCAAGUGGUGUCCCUGGGCAAUUUGAGGCGAGCGGAGACUUGGAACUUCGCGAGUUUUGGCAACUCUCAUGACCUUUGAGAAAUUAACGGAAUCCUCGUCGUGUUAGAUCACUUUUGGGUCAAAUUGACCAAAGUGCAUCGAGAGAAGUAGUUGGACAAAGUCCAAUUGACAUUCCAACAUUGGAAGGGUUAGAAUUAAGUUCUAAAAGAGUUAGAAUAGUUUUAGCAUUGCUCAAAAUUCUGGAAUAUGUGUUACCGGUUUAACACCAGGGGUGUACUGGUACAGUAUGGUUGUGACGAAGUGAAUUCUUGAAAGCCGAGAGUUAGACUUCGUCCAGAAUCGACUGAUGGUCGAGUGGGUAUGCUUUGGAAAAGCCGCAGUUGUCGAAAGCCCAAAAAGUAUAUUGGGAAUGAGUCCGCGAGAGCAAAUGGUGCAAAAUCUGCGCUUGGCAGAUUUGCUCUCGGGGACCGGUCCUUGGCAUGGAGAGACCGGUCCCCCUCAGCUGGUGGUUGCUGUGUCGCGCGAGGCAACCGGUCCCUGGGCUAGGGAGACCGGUUCCCGAACGCGUGAUAUUAGGAAGGUCCUGUGGGACCGGUCCCCGGCAGGGAGAGACCGGUCCCUUAGCACAAAAAUUGCCUAGUCAGGGCAGUGUAAAAGAGUAAAAGUUGAGGGGCUUGUUUGCACUUAUGCAACAUGUGGGGCUAUAUGAGGGGUAUGAGAGCUCUUUUCUCUCAUUUCUCACCCACACACCCUCUCAUAUCUCUCUUUCUCUUUCUGGAAGACAAGAAGAGGAAGAAGAAAGGAAAGGAAAGAAAGAGAAGGAGAAGGAGGUCUUCCUCAUCUUCUUCAUCUUCUCCUUGGUUGGAGCUUCUCGGAGAGGUAAGCUUCUAAGCACUUUCUUGAUGGAUUUCUAGAGAUAGGUUUGAUUGCUCUAGAAAUAAAGUUUUGUAUUAUCUAAGGGCGUAGUACCUGCCAGUACAGGUAUAGAGCCAGAUGGCACUAGCGAAGUGCUAGAAGUAAUCUAUGGCGAGAAGUGAGACUCGCGGUAGAGAUAGAAGUGGCGGAAUGACCCUCAGAGCAAUAUGAGUUGUAAAUUGCGAGAGUUGAGUCAUGAUGCUUAUGAGAAUACCCGAGUGGUCCGAAAAUUUCGAAUGUCAUUCCGGUAGAUUGAACAGUGAAGGUAGCAUCACUGUUGAGAGAACGAUCGAUUAGUGGCCAAGUUUGAGCACGUGGGCCUAGUAGUACCUCAAGGUGAGGUAGGCGGUUGUGCUUGUGCGGCCGGUGUGCAUAGGCAAGAUUGCCUAAUGUUGGACUUCGUGUGGAACGCUGUAGAGGCAUAGAGCGCUCGAGUGUAGAGACCCGUAGAGUGCGGAUGUGGAUUCAGCCGAGUGAGUGAGUUGGCAGUAGCACUUGAGUAUCGCUAGGUGUGAAGCGUGCCAUGGAUCACUCGUGGAACUGGUGACUCGCACUAGGUGUAUAGGAGUCGAUAUUGGUACGUGUGACUCGGUAGAGUAUGUCGUGUAGGACGACGACGGUGGGUAGUGCUUGGGGACGACCCGUGCCUGGACUAUUUGUGGACUGUGGAGCUUGGGCCCUUUGGACAGGCGCAAUCAGCUGUGAGUGACAGCGGCCCGGUACCUACGGGUAGGGCAGAGUUCUGGUCAGGACGGUAGUCCGAGCUUAGACCCGAGAGCGUGGAAUGCCACAUGAUGGAUUGUGUGACCGAUGGUACACCGAGUAUGGUUGUGACCCAACCUGAGGACUUGAUGUGGUUUGGGAUCUUAGUUGCUCCUGGUUGGAAUGUGUGCGAAUUCCCAAGUGAGAAUUUUGCCCGAUGAUGAUUGGGUCUGCAUUUGCGAGCGAGAGACGCUGCGUGUUUAGACAGGUUUAGGCGGUAGGCCUACGUAGGAUCGGUGGCCUUUGGUCCACCUGUGGAGACCGAAGAGAACGAUUUGGCAGAUAGCCUUAUCGAGGGGUUUGACUCGAAUUCACGAACGAAGCGCUCGUGUGAGCUCGUUGCGGAAAUAGUUUGAUGUUAAUCGUGGCAUGUGGUAUUAGAUGAUGAAGUACUCCUUGUGAGACAUCGAACUAGUGGAAAGCCACGUGAUGUUGGAGACUAUGCUUGUAAGCGAACUGAGACUUGAGAUGUGCCGAAGUAGGCCAUCUCGCUUUAAAGUUAAGGGUCAGUGCGAAAUUAGAGCAGUCGCGACGGAGCGAUGCACCGGUGAUAUUGCUUCUAAGCAAUGUCGGUGAUCGAAUUGGAAUGUAUUCCCAUAAGUGAAGGCCAGUGCAAAGAAGAGUUCUUUGUGUACCGAAUGGCGAGUGGUGUUGGAGCGCGUAGAGUCGUCGUGUAUCGACUUGCGCUGCCUUUAUGACUUGCAAGACCUGUGAUGCACUUUUGUAUCACAUUUUGCAAAUGUGUUUAGGAUUAAAUCCACGUCCUUCAGUAUGAGCCACUUCUGGAACCACGAUGGUGUGAAGCCGCUCUGGAGUGGAAGAAUGAGUCGGUACCCUCAAUUGCUCGCGGAGCUGAAUUGAGACGUGGUUUGAAUUUCGCGGACGAAAUUCUUUUAAGGGGUGGAGAAUGUAACAUACCAGAUUUUGGUAUAAAAAUAAAAAUAAAUAAAAAUAGUAUGGGAAACUAUUUUUAUUGGAUUUAUAGAAGUAAAAUAUAAGUCAGAAGUGACUUGUGCUGAAAUCGGAAUGAAAAUAAAAGAUUUAGAAUUUUCUGUUGGAAACGGGACAGAUAAGUUAGCAGAAAAUGCAGUCUCAGAAAAUUAUGAAAAUUGGAGGAUAAGUUAGAAAUAUUUUUAUGAGGCUAGAUUUAAAGUUUCAUAUUUUUCUGACACCCGUAGAGUGAGAAAUAAAAUCCAAGAGUUAUCUGAUAAAGAUUACAGUUCGGCAUAGUUUUCGGUGACCAAAUGGGGUUGAAACUGAAAACUUAAGAUAUAUUCUUACUCAGUACAUUAAACUGAGCCUGCCUGUCAAAUUUGAGCUCAAAUGGAUAUACAUAAGGAUUCCAACUGUUCCGAACUGCUAAACUGCCCUGGAGUGAAUAGUGUUUUGGGUGUUAAAGUAUAUAAGAAGCAAUGUGCUUCUUCUUCCUCCUUCAGUCGUGCACACCCACACACACACCGCACGCACGCAUGGAGAGAGGAGAGAAACUCUCCUUUCUCUCUCUAAAGACCUCUCUCAUCUCUCUAUAUCUCUUGCUCAAAUUCGCGGCGUUGGCGGAGAAGAUGCUCGCGAACGCGUUGGGAGCGACGGAUCGAGCUUUCAUGCGCCCGUUGGAGCGGCGUGUUUUCGUCGCGGCGUUCACAAUGUGGUAAGCUUUUGGGAUUUGGCUUAAUCCUUAGCUUUAAGUGUUCUAAUAGCCUCUAAUGAGCAUUGUUAGUAUGUUGCUCUAUUUAAUUUGAAUUAUUUGGAAGUUAAUUACAUCUAGGGCUUAAAAAUACUAGUUUUGUAAAUAUAAGGGUUUGAUCUCAUUUGACCCUCCAUAAACCUAAUUGCUAGGUAAAUGAACGCGUUGGCGAAGUCGGUUCGGCGAUUCGUCGAGCCGUUGUAAAGUUAUUAAAGAAACGGACGUUUAGGCUUCGUUUCCGCCUAGAGGGCCGAGGCGACAUCUUAAACCCAUGAAAACGGAUUUGAAGCAUCGUGGCACAUAACCGAAGGCCUUUAAUUUCCGGAUCAUGGAUUGGAGGCCGUUCGGGUGGUCGCGCGAGAGAUCGGGCCAAACCGGGUGCCGGGUGCCGCAGGAGGCCAAUUGCAAGUGUCGACAAGCAAUCGGAAUGCGAAAUCGGGGAUCUCGAUCUGAAACUAUCGAAGUAGGUUGUGACGCACUGGACCUGUGCAAAUUGCGAGGUUCGAGUGUUUGGACUGUGUCCCGAGUUUUCCCAGACUUUCUGGUGGGUCAUUGACAGUGUUCCGACCUAUGGCUCGCAUCCCGAGAAUUGUAGUAUUUUACGUAGCGCUAAGGUCACUAAAGAGUUGGACAUAGGCUACCCUCGGAUUUCACUCUGCACAAGGUGUACCGGUACAUCCUUGAUGGCUGUACCGGUACAUACUUUGUACCGGUACACUUUUGAUGGUUGUACCGGUACACUUGUGGCAGAUUGCGAACCCGAGCCUCGGGUUUGCAUUUUCGUAGGAUGUGUACCGGUACACUUUCCCGUGUACCGGUACACUUUGGCAGAAUCUGAGCAGUUUGAACUGCAGGGGGUUUUUCGCGAUUGUGGCACCCUUAUAACAGCACCCACGCCCCAUAGGGCCUCUCUUGUGCUGGAACCUGAGGAGGAGCAAGGUAGGGAGACCCUCUUUUCCCCUAUUUGGAUUUGAUCUCUAAUUUCUUGGAUUUUGAUGGAUUUCCCUCUCUCUUUCCCUAUUGAAGCUAUUUCCACCAUUGUUGGAGCUUGGAGCUUGGAGCUUGGAUUUGGAGUUUGAUUGAGGGAAGAUACUUGAAGUUUGAGGACUUUGAGAUGGUUUUGAGGCUUUUAAGAGGUAAGUGGCAAGAUCCUUUCUUCUAGUUUUGGAUUUUAGAGCUUUCUUUGAGAUGAAACCCUAGUUUUGGGACUUAGGGUUUAUUUUGGGCUUUUUGAACCUAGGGCUUUUGAGGCUUAAUUAGUUGGUUUAGAACCUUCCUAGGGCUUGGAUUGGAAGGCUUCUAGCUCUCUUUUGGAGCUUAGGAGAAGAUUUCUACUCUUGAGGUAAGUUUUGGCCCUUUUGCUUCUAGGUUAAUGUUUGAUAAUAUAAGAUGGUCGUAAUGCCCUCGUAUCUCAUCGCUGAUCACUUUUAGGGUAUUUUGAGACUCGGGGACAACUUUGUUCGGCGAAUCGAGACCCUAAGCGACGGUUCGGUGGGUUUGACCUAACCUACAUAUGAGAAAUUCUCGUAUAUGGUUACAUAUGUUUCGUAAAUUAAAAAAGCAUGCAUGUUCAUACUAAAUGUAUUUAUUAUGAUUUUUAGAAUGCUUAAAAUGCAUAUGUUAUAUAUAGUAAAAUUUUGGACCUCUAUGUAGUAGAGAGUUGCUUCGGAGAUCUUUGGUUGCAUUUAGCAUUCUUUAUGAGACUUGGUUUCAUGUUCUAUAGUAUAUAAAUGAGUUCGGAUUCAUGCAUUUAAACUUGAGUUUACUUGUGACAUGAAAGAUGAUAAGAUUGCCAUUUAGAAGGUAUGCGAACUAGAGAGCUAAUGUCAUCAAGCGGCAUUGAGCUCGGGACAUGUAAAAACCUAGCGGAUAGGGCCAUUGAGGGAUUUGGAAUACAUGUUGAACAUCAAAUUGCCUAAGUGUCAUCAAGGGGCACUAGGCGUAGCAAAUGUUGAAACUUCACAUUGUGACUUAAACUAGAUCUUCGGGAUGCUAGUGACCAUACCAUGUUAGAGACAUGAGGAUUGGAUAUCUGAGACUUGGACUAUGCUUGCUUGCCAUUUGUGCUCAUUCGCACAUGCUUAUGAGGGUCGCUCCCUACAAGCCGGCACUCCGGAGUUAGCCUACGCGACUUUUGUUCGCUCGUGCGGUAUCGAGAAGCCUACGGGGUCGAGUGGGACAGACACAUUCUAUGUGUAGGAAUGUCGGGCUACCACAGGCACUUAGGCGGCACAAGCUGGACUACCUUGGGUAGGUCCCUGAUUGGAAAUGGAAAUCGACACGGUUUGAGAACGAACAAUCACUACUAGGUAGGUUUAGUAGUUGGAUUACAUGUACAUGCUUAUAGCAUAGGGUUGAGACAUGUAGUAUACUUGACAGUUACCUAUUUCAUCACAGUAUACUUGGUUGCCAUGAUAGAACUUAUACAUCACGUAUGAAUAAAGGUUUGUAACAGUAAACUAUUGCCAUUGGUCACUUUUCCUUAUGAUAGAAUAGAUGUACAACACUUUGACAUCGUGCUUAUGUGAGAUAUAGUAGUAUAGCAUUUUACUUAUGCUUUCUCUUUCAGCAGUUUAUUUACAUGCUCCUUUUUAUUGCUUAUUGCUAUUAACGUUACUUACCCUUAUCUUUGGGGCCUAGUGGAGCAGGAGCCGAGGUCAGUAAUUGCCCACUGGGAACUAUAAAUUAUAGUUCUCACGCCCUCUUUUUCUCGAUGUUUUUCAGAGCCUUCCACUCAGGGUGAGGCCAGGGACCGCGGGAAGGGAGUUGCUUCGAGCUAGCUUCCUUCGAGAACGAUUUGCUAGGUGGUCUACCUCUCGUUGUAUUUUAUUUUGGAGAGGUUGAGAGUUUUACCCGUGUACUAGUGACCACCAUUUUUGUAUUAGAGGCUGAUUCUGUAUAACUUAUGUUUACUUUUAUGUAUUAGUUACGUUCUAUUACUAUUGGUGUAGAUGUUAGAACUUUACUCGCUCUGAUAUCAUUAGUUGCUAGUUAUUUCACUUCUUUUGGUUGUUACAUCUCUUGCUUUACUUCCGCUUUUAUUGUAGACGCCUUAUAUGUGUAGACAUAUGGCGGGUCUGGGCACACUACCGGGAGGGCCUCCGCCGGUCCCGGGGCGUGACAUAGGUUGUCACACCCCGAGCCCGGUCCUAUUUGGCCGGUUCGAGCACGUUGAACAGACGCCGAAUGGACAGCACCUCCUCUAUCCGCCCAAGGCUCAACAACAAGUACAGAACAAGUAUAUAAAUUGCAUAGCGGAAACAUAAAUAUACUUGACUUGCACAAGGGCAAGGAAUAGCCAAAAGUGAAAGUAUUAAACUAAACCAUAUACAAGUACAAUGAUUAACUUUUAACCACAUACAUGCAUUCAACCACAAGUUACAUUUACUUUUCAUUAUUUCUUUUACAUCACAUAUUCCCCAAAAUAGGCCUUUACAUUUAACAUCUUUAAUACAUUUGCAUCAUUCAUAUAACUCUAAUCAUCAAAAUACAAAAGAUGAUAUAUAUAAAAGGGUGUGCAACUACACAAAAUAGAACCCGCUCGGGUGGUCUCUGUCUAUGGCGCGAUACCUUUACCGCGAUCGUUGGCCGGCUCACUCGGUCCCGGCUCUGUGGAAAAAGGGGGGUGAGAACUACAACAAAGUUCCCAGUGGGUUCGGCCGCCGACCUCGCCGACUUUCCUACGAGGUCUAAAUCAGGCAUAGUAGAAGAAAGAAUAGAUAGUAACCAACUAAACAAGUGCAGCUAUUAUGCCUGAACAAGAUAUAAUCAAUGAUUAUGCUCAAAUAGAAUGCUCAUGAUGAAUGCAAGGUUACUUUCUGAUUUUCGGUACUUUUGGCUAACCCGUAGGUUUCACCUCAACCAUCAAGUAUUCCAAUUCUCGGUACUUUUGGCUAACCCGUAGGUUUCGCCUCAACCAACCACUCACCAACCCAAAUCCUUAGUAUCGGGGAGAUACUCGCUACAACCCGACGAGACCAUUCUCUAGGGAGAUACUCGCUACGACGCAGUAAUGACUACUCCGGAGCUCAUCGCUUCAGGGGGAGCUACCACCCUUCGAGCCAAGACUAAUAGGUGAGUAUGAUCAAUCCUUAACUUUAAGGAUGCUAUACUCAUAUGACCCUUAACUUUAAGGUUGUUAUGUCAUACUAUCAACUAUCUCACUUUUACUUGCAUUCUUCAACUUUCAUUAGUGUCACUUUCACUACUUGUUCUUUAUACUCAUUCACAUGCAUUCCUUAAUGCCACACACACACUAAGUGUUCUUUAACUCAUUCUCAUGCAUUCUUGUCAUUUACUAAUGCCACCCAAUUCAUAUGUCAUAAUAUCAUUUUAUUCUUUACCUCAUCUAGGUCUUUGUCACCAUUCAUGCAUACAUAGGGUUUUACAUGUUUUCAAUAGCUCACAAUAUCUCAAAUGUAUUUUAUACUCAAAGCAUGCAAUCAUAUAAAUUCCACUCACCCUACUAUGCAUGAAAAGAUAAACAUGUACAUGCUAAAAAAUGACACUUUAGAUAUAAAAAAAAAUUCAUCGAUUUCGGAAUGCACCACCCACCUUGUAUGGUUGCUAGGGUGCUACGGUUCAAAUCUCAUGAUUUUUAGCCGCCUAUUCUCUCGCCUGCGGCAAAAUGAAGCCGAAUUAGGCUUUUUGCUCAUAACUUUGCGUAGACUCGUCGGAUCACCGAACCGAGUUUAUAUUCUAGUUAGAAAUACCCUCAAUUUGGUUUCUACAAGAUCAGUUUGCCUCAAAACCAACCUAGGGCAAAAGCCCCAAUUUUGGUGCCCUAACAAUGUUAUUUUGCAAUUUUUCUUGGAUUGAUCUUAGAGCUAAGCAAAAACUAGCUUAGAACCAUCUAAGAACUUCUCUAAAACCAUUUUUAGGUCAUUCAAACCAUUCCUAACAAUGUCAUUUUGCAAUUUUUCUUAGAUUGAUCUUAGAGCUAAGCAAAAACUAGCUUAGAACCAUCUAAGAACUUCUCUAAAACCAUUUUUAGGUCAUUCAAACCAUUCUUAGGGCAUCUAACAUGAACCCUAGAAAUCCACCAUGAGAGCACAUGAAGAAAAUAUAGAUUUUCAUAUGUUCAUAGCCUCUACUAGGUUUCUAGCCUUACAAGAAGAUCAAAACUCAAAGAUUUAGGAUAUAAAACCAAACCCUAGCAUCAUUCUUGUAUAAAACUCACCUUAGCCCACAAGCUCUCCAAUAUCCACCUUGUAGGAGAGACCUAAACCUUCAAAAGCUCCAAAUCUCCUCCAAAAUUGUCACGCCCGGGUACCAGCGGAAGCAUAUCCGGUACGUGCACAAACCCGCCAUACACCUGCAGUAUAUAAGGCGUCUACGAAGAAAGCAAGUCGAUAGGGAGCAAAACAAAGAAAGUCCUAUCCUGAUAUCAGAGCAAUGUACAAGUCGAUAUAUUAUCAACAAAAGAACAAAGAGUGUACAAUCCAAAAUCUCGACUAAAAAAAAACAAGUAUCACAACAGAAACAUCUGGAUCAACAGUAAAUAUACAUCACGGGGUAUACAAAAAUAGGUACAAUGGUGGUCUCUCUAUACAUAGGGACAUCACCCUCGGCCGUAGCCCGAGUAGCAAGGUGAUCGACUAGCACGCUCCUAGUAGUCCCUAGCUAGGCGCGACUCCCUUGCCACGAUCCCUAGCCUCUCCUGUAAAAGGCUCUGUAAAAACAACCACCAAAAGGGCGUGAGAACUAUUAACAAUAGUUCCCAGUGGGUAAGCCGCCAGCCUCGGCGAAUUACACCACUAGGCUCAAGAUGUACUAAAUGAAAGCAAUAACAAUAAUUGCAUGAUUUAUAAGCAUGAUGCUAAUAAGUAAUAAGCAUGUAAUCAACAUGUAAUAGCUUUCUACAGUAAUGAACCAUUUGCAUAAAAGAGAUAUAGCAACUUCUGUAAUCAUGAACAUAGACAUGAGUAUAAGCACGAACAUAAAAGUGACUACUGUACACUUUAAGUAAUAAACAUUCAUUACUGUCCUUUUUCAUUUAGUACUUUCCUUUCAUUCACAGGGACCUACCCAAGGUAGUCCAGCUUGCGCCGCGCCUAAUGGCCCCGUGGUAGUAUACACUCCCCACGGCAAUCCACUUCGGCACCCAAUCCCGCACGGGCGAGCAACUGUCGCGUAGGCCAACUCCGGAGUGCCGGCUUGUAGGGAGCUACCCUCACAAGCGUGUGCGAAUGAGCACGAUGGCAAGCAAGCAAAGUCCGUUGUCCACAUGUCUCAAUUUUCAUAUUUUCAUUUGCAAAGUUCUUACCCUCGAUCCUCUGGUCGGAAUUUCAAUAUACAAAUAGUAGUAAGAACUAGUAUCCACUAGAUUGUAAACAUGUAAGGGUAAUGCUAAAUCACAUGGCAUUAUAAUCUUUCCACUAUUAUGGCACUAUCAACAUAGUCAUAAGCAUGUCAUAGUUUUCUACUUUAGAGUCAAGAGAAUGUCAUUGUUCUCUACUUCCUAAGUGCAUCCUACACUUGUUCAUAAGUCAUUCAACUGAGUCGAAUAUGAAUAUAAAUACUUUCAUGUAUAUAUGUUCUCUACUUUUUAGAGAUUUCAUUCUACUUAAGCAUCAAACAUCACAAUGAUAUGUUUCAAAUUCUCUAUCAAUCACAUAGGCACUAAAUGCACUUAUGCGAUUAUUCUAUAGAUACAUAAAGAACAUAGAGGAGCUUCACUUGCUCUUGUUAGGUCAAACCCACCUAGUACUAAGUUCAAAUCAGUCCAAAGGAGUCCCAAGGAUAAGCUCCACUAGGUCGCAAUCCUGCUGAACACGAAGCAUACAUAUCGUAUCAAAAUUACGAUCGAAAUGUCCAAUUUCAGCGCAAUUGCACUUAGCACAUCGUAAUAGCUGAAAUCCCUGUUUUGGCUCAAUAAAUACCUCAAGUUAAGCUUCCAAAAUCCCUCACGUAUCAGCCGGAGGUAAUCCGAAGGUCCGUUGCAAGCCCGCUGUGAACUAUUUCCAAAACGGCAACAAAGUCGUCAAGUGCUAACAAUAUAGUCGGAAUCAUGCGAAUUCAGUUUCCUAACUGAAAUUCCUACUUACCUCAGGUUAGAACACUUCUAGAACACUUCGAGACAGUCCCCAAGGUCAUCCAAUUAGCUCAAAAUGGUUCGAAAACCUUCUGCGAAGGAAUCAUUCAAAACUGCGUCAAUAAACCGCGUAUAGUUCCGAAAUUGAGUUAUAACUCACUACUUAUCCUUCAUCAACUUUAAAGCAGCAUGUCUCUGAGUUUAGAUGGAUACUUAGUAGCCAAAAGAACCCUUCUUUACUGCUGAAAACAACUUCUAGCUCAGUUGGAAGCAACGGAACGAAAAGGCGUCCAAAAUCAAUACGAAACCGUAAACUAGAGAGAAAUCGAGUUAAAAUUACCUCUCUAAAGCUUUCAACCAGCUUCUCAGGUGGUAACCUCACAGAAAACCCAGCAAAAUUCCCUCUCCCCACGAUCCAAACACUUUCCUCGAGUCGUCCAAUCAACGAGCAACGAGCGCGGCGCGGAAACGGCGCGAAACGACGAAUUCUAUGUAGAGAGAGAAAAACCCUAGAGAGAGAGAGAAGAAGAAGGUGAAGAAACCCUUCUCUGAGCUCUAGCACACCCCAGCAAGCUCCUAGAGUUGUGCUGGGUUCAAAUAGAUAGGCUCAAGAUGUGAAAUGACCAAAUUAGCCCUGCUGCCACGAAUCUGCCAAUGCUGUACCGGUACAAGGUAAUGGCUGUACCGGUACAACAAGCAGAAAAAUGCUGAUUUUCGCAGAUCAAUGCAUUUUCUCACUUUUAGCAUUCCAAACAUCCUCUAACUUAUCCAAAAACUUGUUCUAACCUUUUAUAACAUGUAGGAUAGUUCCAUAUAUCAUUCCACACACUCGAACUCUGCUAUUUCCAAAAGUUCAGUGUCUUACAAAAAUCUACCUCUUGAGCUCCUCCUUUAGCUUGGGAGAGAGUUUCUAGACAGAGAGAGGGAGAGAAAUGAGAUGGAGAUGGGUUCUCAGCUGUGAAGAGAGAAGGGAGGGGGUGUGGGGUCAUAUAUAGGUUGCUACAAUAGCAGCUAGGCCCCCCAAAACUUCAUAUUUGCAGCAGACUAAAAUCUGCUGUGAAGCAGACUUGGUACCGGUACCAGGUAUUUUUGUCAACGGUUACACAAUUACGUAGAGGCUAACCCGAGAGCUGCUUCUCUCGGCUAGCAGUCUGGUAACGGUACCAAUUGGAUUUGUCACCGGUUUAACAACUUGACAGAGGCUAACCCGAGAGCAAUUCUGCUCUCGAUUUCUGUAGCGUACUGAUGACACCCCUGGGCUGUCACCGGUUCAACAAUGCUCCUUACUUGAUUAUUGCAUUGAUUCGACGACGUUUCGCGCCGAGCAAUGCUAAAACCUUUCUAACUCUUUUGGAAUUUAACUUUAACCCUUCCAACAUUGUUGGAAUGUUAAAUGGACCUUGUCCAACUAUUUCUUUCGCACACUUUAAUCAAUUUGACUAAAGUUCGAUAUUCUCUAUCGAGUUUCGGUAUAUUACAUGGGUAUCCCGUGAAGUCGCACAAUCUCAGCCAAGUAUACCUGUGCGAGUAUCUCACCUGACCAAGUCGUGUGAAUAGGUAUGAAAUGAGCCGAUUUCGUCAACCUAUCCACGAUCACCCAAAUCGCAUCAUGCUCAGCUUGAGAGCGGGGCAAUCCCAUAACAAAGUCCAUGGUGAUCCUUUUCCACUUCAAAACAAGAAUCGGUAAACUCUGAAAUUUUUCCGCCGGUAGUCGGUGCUCAACUUUCACUUGUUGACAAGUUUAACAUCGAGCUACAAACUCGCCAACAUCCUUUUUCAUUCCGGGCCACAAAUAAAGUAACUUCAAGUCCUUGUACAUCUUGGUGCUUUCCGGGUGUAGAGCAUAAGGUGCACGGUGAGCUUCUUGAAGAAUAACCUCUUUAAUUGCCGAUUCCGUCAGUACACAAAUCUGCCCGCGGAAACACAACAACCCUUAAUUAUCCGCAAGGAAAUCACCAGUGUAAUCAUCAACCAUUUUAGCUCGAAUCAUUUGCAACUCCACAUCGUGAACUUGCUUUUCUUUAAUAAUUUCCAAUAAUGUUGGUUGCACCACCAAAGCCAUCAAUCUCAAGGGUGUAUUAGGAGCCACCAGCUCUAACUCCAACUACUUUAUUUGCUCAAUCAACGGCGGUUGAGUGACUACAAUCAUCGCUAAGUUAUCCGUCGAUUUCCAACUUAGCACAUCCGCUACCACGUUAGCCUUGCCCGGGUGGUAGAGAAUCAUAAGAUCGUAAUCCUUGAGCAGCUCCAACUGUCACGCCCCACCCCGAAACCACUACCAAUUUGGCACGAUUCGGGCGCGGCGGGCGGACCGCCGAACGGACAGCACCUCCCCUGUCCGCCGAAGACUCAACAACAGGAAUGUAUACAAGAAUUUAUCCAGGAAUUUUAAAUUCUAAACAUACACAUUCAACGAGGGCACAAACAGUGCCAACAACAAGAAGAGCAAGUAAUCCACAAGAUAUACGAGUGAAAUAAAGAGAGUACUUUACUAACUAUUACAAUAGUUGCAUUCUUUUACAUUUACAUCAUUUCCCAAAAUGAAUACAUGCGAUCCUCAAAAUACAUAGCUCUCCAACCUCACCUACAUGAAUCUCUCUCAAUACAUAGGUGUGCUAAUGCAAAAGGAAAGCUACUAUACUACCACGGUCUCACUGAUCGUGCGCGAUGCCCUUGCCGCUGUCCUCGCUAGGUAGACCUGUACCUAUCAUUGGAAAUAGAGUGGGGUGAGAACUAUCUUCCAUAGUUCCUAGUGGGCUCGGCCGCCGACUCCGCCGAUCUCCCCAUUAGGUCCAAGUGGGCACAAGUAACAACAAGUAGAUAGAUAGAUAGAUAUCUGAAAGCUGUAAAGGCAUAAAGGAAAACUAUGAUACUAUGCCCAUAAUCAUGUAUAAUGAAUGCAUGCAUCAUAUAGUAAAGGUUUACUAUCAUGCUAACAAAUUUGAUCCAUGUUCGAAUGAUAAUAUUCCAUGACAUUGUUAACUGUUCAUUUACCCAAUCUGUGGCGAAGCCCUUAAGUUCGCCCUCGACUCACCUUGCCAUCCCAUUGGGUGGGGAGCUCCAUGUGCUCCUAGACGCGGGACCGUCUGUGGACCUCCAAGUGGUCCGGACCUCCAAGUGGUCCAAAUCGCUCGAUACUCCGAAGUACUCGACGACAAUACUCUCCAUGUAAGGAUAUGGAUGUCUAUACUACCCCAAAACAGACCGUGAGCAUGAUCUAUCCCCUCCAUGUGGGGACACCCUACCUCUAGGGCCAACAUCUCAAUAGACACUCUUCUAUAUCCUCUCCAUGUGAGGAUACCCUAUGAACUAGGGUCAACAUCUCUCGCGGAAUCAUCUGUUCCCGACAUUCAUGCAAUGCUAUUUAGCUUUUCUAAAUUCAUUGUUCACAAGGCAUUUUCUAAGGGAUCCACCUAUCCCUAGGUCCAUCGACCUCUAGUGUAAAAUACACUAUAUUAAUGCCACUCGAUAUGUUCUUUAACAUUUUAUGCCACUCGUUUGUUCUUUAGCAUUUAAACGCCACUUUCUAUGUCACCAAACACCCAUCGUGUUUCAUCUCUUUUCUUUAGCACUAUAGGAUUCAUGUUCCGACCCAAUCCUCACCUAUCCAAGUCACCAAGCGUUCCAUGUACACUAGGUUAUCAAUUAGAAAGCAUAAGGAAAGGUACUACAAUGCAAUCCUACAAUGCAACAUGCAAGAGAUGCAAAUCAUGUAUUUCUAAGACAUAGAAAGGAGUUCGGUUGCUUCGGGAUGACAGCCCCCACCUUUUCUCUUUGUAGAGGUCCUAGAAGCGUUCCCUGACACUUCAAACUGCGUGUUCCCGGCCUCUUUGGGAGAAACGAAGCUAGGUCGGUCCUACUUUGCCGAUAGUCCUACACCCGCUCGACGAAUCGUAAAUCUGACUCCGCCAACGCGUUGGGACACCUAGCAAUUAGGUUUACAAAGCCUCAAAUGUGAUCAAUCUCAUCUAUAUCCAAAAAUCCCAUUUUGGGUGCCCUAGGGUUAGCAUCAUGCUAUUUGCACCAUGAAACCCUAGCCUCUAGCUCUAGUCCACCAACAAUGGUGCUAGAAGUCCAUUUGACCUCAUCUCAAAGCUCAAAACCCAAAAACCCUAAGUUCUACAAGCUAGGGUUUGUAGCUUACCUCUUGAGCUACACCAAUGGAGAGGAGAGGAAGAGAGGAAGAUGCUCCAAGCCUUCUCUAGCUUGUUCUUCUCCUUCUUCUUCUUCUUCUCCUCCUUCUUCUUCUUCUCUUCCUUCUUCUCCUUCUCUUUUGUUCUUUCUUUUCUAUAGAGAGAGAGGGAGCAAGAGAGAGUGAGAGGGAGAGAGAAUGAGAGGUUGAGGGAGAGAGAGAGGGUCUACAUACCCCUCUAUUGUAACAAAAUCCAAUUUAGCCCCUCAACUUUCCAUCCAUUGCACUGCCCUAACUGGGCAUUUUGCGCCUAGAGGGACCGGUCCCUCGUCGGGGAGACCGGUCCCCGAGAGCAGUCCCCGCGGCUAGAAGGCCUCCUCGCGUUCUGGAACCGGUCUCUCCCCGGGAGACCGGUCCUCGGGAGACCAGUCUUCGCCUGAGAGACCGGUCCCCGAGAGCUUGAUUUUCAGGACUUAGCCGAUUUUGGCCUUCUCUCGCUGGCGUCACACACGGGGACCGGUCCUCUCAGCCAGGGACCGGUUGCAUCAAAGAUCCCCAGCAACCACCAGCCUCGGGGACCGGUCUCUCCCUGUCAGGGACCGGUCCCUGAGAGCAAUUUUAGCCCAGUGCAGGUUUUGCACUAUAUGCUCUCGCGGACACGUUUCUAAUGCACUUUUUGUGUUUUGGACAACUUUAGCUUUUCCGAAGGAUACUCACUCGACAAUUAGUCGAUCCUAGACGAAGUACAACUCUUGGAUUUCGAAAAUUCACUUCCUUACAUCCUCCCCUCCUUAAAAGGAGUUUCGUUCUCGAAACGAACUAAUCUUCUAACUUUAAUUUAAAUUCAUACCUUACUCCUCAAGUAGAUGAGGAUGGUGCUUUCUCAUCAGAUCCUCGAGUUCCCAGGUGGCCUCACGAUCAUCAUGAUUGCUCCACCUAACUUUUACAUAGGGAAUUUCUCGAUUCCUCAACUUUCGCACCUCUCGUGCGAUAAUCCCUAGCGGAAACUCUUCAUAGCUCAAGUCUCCUUGAAGUUCCGGUGGUUCAUAUAGCAUCGCGUGCUCGGGGGUCGUGAAUAUACUUGCGGAGAUUGGAGACAUGGAACACAUUGUGAACAUUCGCGAGCUUCGGCGGCAAAGCGAGUCGAUAGGCCACCGUGCCAACUCGCUCCAAUAUUUCAUAGGGUCCAAUGUAUCGGGGACUCAACUUUCCCCUGCACUCCAAACCGCUUCACACCCCGCAUCGGUGAAACCUUCAAGAAUACGCGGUCGCCCACCGCGAACUCUAUAUCUCGUCGGCGCCUAUCUGCAUAGCUUUGCUGUCUCGACUGCGCCGUGAGCAAUCUCUUGCGAGCAAGGCGAACUUUCUCCUCGCCUUCUCGCAACACAUCAGGGCCGAACUCAGCCCGCUCACCUACAUCGCUCCAAUGUAUAGGAGACCGACACGUCCGCCCAUAAAGAGUCUCGAACGGUGCCAUCUCUACACUAGCAUGAUAACUGUUGUUCUAGGCGAACUCGGCCAAAGGUAGGUGAUCACACCAACUUCCCUUAUAGUCGAUGACACACGCUCGCAACAUGUCCUCCAGAGUUUGAAUGGUUCUCUCUGUUUGCCCAUCGGUUUGAGGAUGAAAUGCAGUGCUAAAAUCGAGCCGUGUGCCAAGGGCUUCCUGCAGGCUUUUCCAAAAGUGUAAAGUGAACCGGGGGUCACGAUCAGACACGAUCGAAUUCGGCACCCCAUGCUGUAAUACACUGAACUCUUUCAAAUUGCGAAGUUCGAGUAUGUGGAAUGGUGUGUGGAUCACUCCUACAUGUUCUAAAAGGUUAGAACAAGUUUUUGGAUAAGUUAGAGGUUGAUUGGAAUGCUAAAAGUGAGAAAACGCAUCAAACUGGCGAAAAUCAGCCUUUUCUGCUUGCUGUACCGGUACAGACAUCACCUUGUACCGGUACAAGCUGGCAGAUUCGUGGCAGCUUGGGUAUUUUGGUCAUUUCACUUUUGACACCUAUCUAUUUGAACCCAGCACGACUCUGGGGGCUCAGUGAAGGUUGCUGGAGCUCAGGGGAUUGUUCUUCCACCUUCUUGUUAUCAAGGGUCACCCAUUCGGCGGUCGGAGCCGCUUAAUGUGGUGAUCCGAGUACUACAUGAUUAACUUUCGUUAUUGCUAUUAACGUAUUAAUUAUUCGUACUACGAUUAUUCAUUAUUCGUACAUUAGUUGUACAUUAUCGAAAGAUGGACAUUAGUUCGCUCAUUUUCUCUUACAGUGACAAGAGAUGCAAAGUAUUCACAUAAGAUGUGAACAAGUAUUCAGUAAGUUGACUUAACUUAUAUUUCUAUUUAUGCAAGUACAUAUACACAAGAGAUGAAAUAUCUCUAAAGUUCAGUUAAAUGAAGAGUUCAGGAUAUAGUUUGUGGUUUCGCGUGUUGUUGUGGUUAAGAUAUCGUGUAUAUCUUGUAUCCCCUCGAGGUGAACGAGACCAAUCCAGGCUGGGUGGAUAAUGCUUCGAGGUGUGUCAGGUUCCUCAAGGUUCCUAGUCGAGGUGAUCCAGCGUUAGGACGACUUGUGCUUCGUAUGUAUAGCAUAGUUUUAAUGCUAGCUUUUCCGGUUAAAGCCGCGUUAAUGUGAAGCAUGUAACCUUAUCGAAUUUAGGGAUAAAACCGAAUCAAGUUAUGGAGUGCAAUUCGAAGGUUUUCCAGGAGGUUCCGGUCAGCUUCUGCCAGGUUCCCAGUUUAUGGGAGAGCGACGCUUGUUAUGGCUUUGCCGUAGUUAUAACAGCUAAUAUUCGAUAUUAUCAGCUUAAGAGCGUUCUAAAUUAAGGUUCGACUUUAAGGACGAAUGGGCUUCAACCUUGUGGAAGAUUUGAGUGAGGGUUUCAGUGAUUAAGUUAAUUAUUCCAAGUUUUUGGGCGACGUUUCUUUUGUUAAAAGUUUAACAUAGUUAAGCCAGCGUAUUGGGCAUAUAUCAGGCUUUAUCGAAGGCUUUACCGAUUAAGAAGGUUAAUUCGAAGUUUCAUCGAAUAGGGACCAGAUGACUCUAAUUAAGUGUCAAUUUAUCGAGUAGAAAUUCACGAUUUUGGAGUCAAAUUUUGUCGAUCUUCGUUGUUGAGGUUUUGAUAUGUAUUAAGCAGGUUCUUUAACGGCUUUUACCUUUUGCACUCGGCGAAUGGAGCGGUUCGGAGGUUGGUCAUCGAGCGACCAGGUCUCGACGCUUCUCUGAAGGUUUCAUGAGAGAGUGUACAAGUGUUCCCGAGGCAUUGUGAGCGUUGUUCGCUGCUUGUUCGCUCCGCUGCUUUUGCUCGUUUUAGCAGCUAAAGAUACAUCUCUCUCUUUUUUGGGAUCUCUCUCUCUCUUNGCUAGUCGAUCACCUUGUUACUCGGGCUACGGCCGAGGGUGAUGUCCCUUUGUAUAGAUAGGCUACCAUUGUACCUAUUUUUGUAUACCCAGUAUUGUAUAUCUCCUGUUUGGAUCUGAUGUUUUAGUUGUGAUACUCAUCUUUUGGUUGAGCUUUUGGAUUGUACACUCUUGCCCUUUUGUUGAUAGUAUAUCGACUUGUACAUUGCUCUGAUAUCAGGAUAGGACUUUCUUUGUUUUACUUCCUAUCGACUUGUUGCUUGUAGACGCCUUAUAUACUGCAGGUGUAUGGCGGGUCUGUGCACGUGCCGGAUAUGCUUCCGCUGGUACCCGGGCGUGACACAUGCAGUCUCACUAUCUCAUCGAGGUAUACCUGCGCUAACUUGUCACCCGACCACGUGGUGUGGAUCGGUAAGAAUUGAGCCGACUUCGUCAGUCGGUCCACAAUUACCCAAAUUGCAUCGUGGCCGCCCGUUGAGCGAGGCAAGCCGACCACGAAGUCCAUUGAUAUAUCCUCCCAUUUCCAAACGGGGAUUGGUAGGCUUUGAAGCUUUCCCGCUAGAAAUCGACGCUCGGCCUUCACCUGUUGGCAUGUUAAGUACUUCGCCACAAAGCGUCCAAUAUCACCCUUCAUUCCCGGCCACCAAUAGUGCAUUUUUAGUCCCUGAUACAUCUUGGUGCCGCCCGGGUGAUCGGCAUAUGGAGAUCGAUGUGCUUCUUGUAGAAUUAGCUCGCGAAGCUCUCCAUUCUUCGGCACACACCAUCGGUUUCAAAACCGAAGUGCACCAUCGGCGUUUAUACUGAAAUCGCCACCUCGACCGUUCUCGAUGUUUCGCCGCACCUUUUGGAGUUCUGGGUCCGCAGGUUGUAGAUCUUUAAUCCUCUCUAAUAAGGUCGGUUGGACAACGAGCGCCAUCAACUGGGCCGGAAUCUCGGGAGCAACCACCUCAAGGUUCAUCCGCUCCAUGUCUAACCACAAGGGUGAUUGAUUUGUAACCCACAUCGAGAGGUUCUCCGCCGACUUUCUGCUCAAUGCAUUAGCGACAACAUUAGCUUUCCCGGGGUGGUAAAGGGUAUCAACAUCAUAGUCCUUUAACAAUUCUAACCACCGCCGUUGUUACAUAUUGAGUUCUUUCUGUGUGAACAGAUACUUCAAAUUCUUAUGGUCGGUAUAGAUUUCACAAUGGGCACCGUACAAGUAGUGCCGCCACAGCUUCAAGGCGAAGAUUACCGCCGCUAACUCCAAAUCAUGGAUGGGGUAGUUCUUCUCAUAGCUCUUCAGCUGACGGGACGCAUAAGCGAUUACCUUCCCGUUUUGCAUCAAAACACACCCCAAUCCUAGAUAGGAAGCAUUGCUGUAGACUAUGAAGUCUUCGCCCUGCACCGGUAGAGCAAGCACCGGAGUCAAAGUUAAUCUUUGCUUCAACUCUUUGAAACUCCGGUCGCACUCUUCGCUCCACAAGAACUUGGUGCCUUUCUGGGUCAAGCGGGUAAGUGGAAUCACUAUCUUGGAAAAGCCUUCCACGAACCGCCUAUAAUAGCCCGCCAAGCCUACGAAGCUGCGAACCUCCGUGACAUUCGUCGGGCGUGGCCAAUGCUCGAUUGCCUCAACUUUCCUCGGGUCUACAGAAACUCCACCCGCGAAAAUCACGUGCCCUAGAAAUGCCACUUCUCGGAGCCAGAAGUCACACUUCUUCAACUUAGCAUACAGCUUCUCCUCCCGAAGGGUUUGAAGCACAAUCGUCAAAUGCUCGGCAUGUUCUUCGUCACUACGAGAAUAGACCAAUAUGUCGUCUAUGAAGACCACGACAAAUCGAUCCAAAAACUUCCUGAAAACACGGUUCAUUAAGUCCAUAAAUGCCGCUGGAGCAUUCGUGAGUCCAAAUGGCAUGACCGUGAAUUCGUAGUGCCCGUACCGCAUACGAAACGCGGUUUUCUGCACAUUCUCCGGCUUGAUUUUCAACUGGUGAUAGCCGGACUGCAAAUCUAUUUUCGAGUACACACAUGACCCCUGCAAUUGAUCGAACAGGUCAUCGAUUCGGCGUAGUGGGUACUUGUUCCUGAUCGUGACUCUGUUCAACUCUCGAUAAUCCACGCAGAGUCGAAACGAUCCGUCCUUCUUCCGUACAAACAAUACCGGGGCUCCCUACAGUGAUACACUUGGCCGGAUAAACUACUUGUCAAGAAGAUCUUGCAAUUGACUCCUCAACUCUUUCAGUUCCGCUGGCGCCAUUCGGUACAGAGCCUUCGAGAUCGGUGCGGUACCGGGAACCAAGUCUAUGACGAAUUCGAUCUCCCGAUCCGGUGGUAUCCCCGGCAACUCCGCGGGGAAUACAUCCGGGAACUCCCGCACCACCGUUAACUUCUCCAAUGUUCCACAACAGUCGCUAAGAAUGCCGUGCAACUGCUGUUAACCAACUUCCUUGCUCUCGUCGCCGACACCGUUGCGACGAAACACGAGCUUUGGCAAGCCCGGUAUGUGAACUCCUUUUGUCCUGGCUCACGAAACGUAAUUACUCUGCUCUUGCAGUCGAUCGUUGCAUGAUAUUUCGAGAGCCAAUCCAUGCCUAGAAUAACAUCAUAGGCCUCCAGUUUCCUGAGUUCUAACAUCCAUAUAGGCAUUAUGAAGUCACCCACUUGUACUGGACACGACGCACACUCCGAGUAAGUGUUAAACGUCGACCCAGGGCCUUCAACUCGCCACUUGUCACUCGCCUCUAUGAGUAUGUCAUGCAUGCGUGCGCAUGCUCUACUAAUGAAUGAAUGCGUGGCUCCUGUAUCAAAUAAAGCCCUGGAGCGAACUCCGUUAAUUAAAACCAUACCUGCCACAAGGCGAUGCCCUUCCACCUCCGUAGGUUCCUCGGUUUGAACCUGAGCGGCAAAUACCCGUCCGCUCGGGGCCGAUCGCGUCAUCUCGGGUUUACGCGACAUCAUCGCGCGUCCCGCCGACGUCGCCGUCGGUGGAACUCCUCCAUAGCGAGCCGGAAUCACCGGCGCCAAUGCAAUCGAUGGGGCGGGUGAGGCUCCUCCUUCUAGGCAGUCCCGAAUGAAGUGCCCCGGCUGCCCACACUUGUAGCACUUGCCUCGACCUUGCUCAUACCGGGAGACUGGGUGGUCUCCGCCGUAUAUGAUGCACCGUCGCGCUCCACCGCCCUUUGGCUGAGUCCGCGGAUACUUCGGGGGCCUCUUGGAACGUGCUUGUCCCCCCGAACCGCCGCCUCCUUGGCGUUUCUUGCCCUUGUCCUUAGUCUCGGCCAAUGCCUCGCGCUUCUCCCAAACGUGGGCGACUCUGUGCUCCGCCCAAAGUGCCCGGUCGAAGACCUCUACGAAGGUUGUGAGCUUGAGUAUCUGCACGGCCUUAUAAAUCCCUGGCCGACGUCCUCGCAAGAACCAAUCGGCCCGGUCUCGGUCAUCCUUCACUACGUCCGGAACACAGUCAAUGAUGUAGGAGAACUCUUGUUCAUACUCCGCCACUAGACGGUCCCCUUGCUCCAACUUGCGGAACUUCUCCUUGAGCUUCCGCUUAAGCGUAUCGUUGAAGUAGUUGGCGAACAUCUCCCGCUUGAAUUCCUCCCACAUCAUUGGCGGAAGGUUAGAAAGCCAAUCCCUUUUUACGCGCUUCCACCAGACUUUCGCCUCCUUCUCCAAGCAGUGGGUGGCAAGGUACACUUUGUCCCUCUCCAAGGUACGCAGGUCCUCAAAGAGAGCCUCCAUCGAGUCGAUCCAAGACUCGACCAUCGCCGGCUCCACCUUUCGCCCUCAAAGGUAGGUGGAUGGAACUUGUUGAACUUAAUAUAUAAGAGCCGCCAAUGCGCGCUCUCCCUCCACAUCUUCGGCCGUCACCUCGGGUGUAGCCGAUCCCGACGCCGCUGGAGGAACAAUUGCCGGCGGGGGACGUGCCGCCACCGGAACCGCCGCUAUACCCUCACCCUCAGCUGGCUCAGGCACGCGAGUCGAGGGUGCGGGUAUAUCGCGUCCACCCGUCGCCGUUGCGGCCGCCACCGCAGCCUGCCGCUCCAAGAGCUCCUGGAGCCGCUCGAAUCGGGUCUCCUAGCGCUGCACCACAUCGGUCAGUGCGGUCACUUGCGCCUGCAACUGAUCCAUCACACUCGGUUCAUCCUGCUCGGGAACCUCAGGUGUCGGUGCCGUAGUAGAUCUGCGUGUGUAGCGUCUUGGAGACAUUAGUCCCUGAAACGCAAAUACUUGGUCAGUCAUCUUAACCAAUUAUCUCGUCGAAAUUACGACACAUGACGAAUCCACAACAAAAUCGGGCGGAAGCACACAAGUGUACUGGUUCUAGACUCUUGGCAUCAUGUCGUCAGCCGCCGACAAAACCACCUCAAAUCAAGAAUUAAUACCACUUGAAUCCGUCUCUAUUCACAACUAGAGACAUAUUACCAACUUCGACCCAAUCGAAUUAACUUCCGCCAUCGUUAUAGGUUCACGUUCCGCUCACGUACCUAUAACCUUAGGGCUCACCAACCUAGGGUCUCCUAGGUCAUCCUAGACUCUCUCUCUUUACUUGCUCUUAUUGCUCUGAUACCACAUGACUGUCACGCCCUGCCCCGAAACCACUACCAAUUUGGCACGAUUUGGGCGCGGCGGGCGGACCGCCGAACGGACAGCACCUCCCCUGUCCGCCCAAGGCUCAACAACAGGAAUGUGUACAAGAAUUUACCUAGAAAUUUCAAAUUCUAAACAUACACAUUCAACGAGGGCACAAACAGUGCCAACAACAAGAAAAGUAAGUAAUCCACAAGAUAUACGAGUGAAAUAAAGAGAGUACUUUACUAACUAUUACAAUAGUUACAUUCUUUUACAUUUACAUCAUUUCCCAAAAUGAAUACAUGCGAUCCUCAAAAUACAUAGCUCUCCAACCUCACCUACAUGAAUCUCUCUCAAUACAUAGGUGUGCUAAUGCAAAAGGAAAGCUACUAUACUACCACGGUUUCACUGAUCGGGCGCGAUGCCCUUGCUGCGGUCCUCGCUCGGUAGACCUGUACCUACCACUGGAAAUAGAGUGGAGUGAGAACUAUCUUCCAUAGUUCCCAGUGGGCUCGGCCGCCGACUCCGCCGAUCUCCCCACUAGGUCUAAGUGGGCACAAGUAACAACAAGUAGAUAGAUAGAUAGAUAUCUGAAAGCUGUAAAGGUAUAAAGGAAAACUAUGAUACUAUGCCCAUAAUCAUGUAUAAUGAAUGCAUGCAUCAUAUAGUAAAGGUUUACUAUCAUGCUAACAAAUUUGAUCCAUGUUCGAAUGAUAAUAUUCCAUGACUUUGUUAACUGUUCAUUUACCUAAUCUGUGGCGAAGCCCUUGUGUAAUAGACUGAAAAUUUGAUUAUAAGUUAAUUGUGAUUAAAGUGAUCACAAUAAUGCUAAAAAGGAAAUUAAAUGUUCCUGAACUUAAUUAGUACCUUGAGAACAGCAAGUAACAUGUUUUGGAAGUGAGAGAACAGGCUCGAAGUGAAUUGGAAGGGUUAGAAACCUCCAAUCAACAUGAUGCCAAAUUGAAAAUUAAUUGCUUCCAAGUUAAUUUGAUGAAUUGGAAAUUAAUUGGAAAUUAAUUGCUUCCAUUCUAGCCCACUCAUGUAACUACUACAAUGCCUGUACAAAGCUGAAAGAAAGUAAUAUAGGAAAACUGUAAAUAUGCAUGCAUAUUGUAAUAUACCACUGCCCAAUCAAUCUAGCUAACCAUUUGGUUAACUGCAACUCACCAACUCAAUCCCUGGCGGGCCCUAAGCUGCCUCCCGACGGGACCGUCUGCUGGACAGAUACUUUAGUCCAUGGGCAAAUACUUUAGCCCAUCACGUGACCACUCCGGAGUGCACUGCUCGGGUGGAGCGACCACCGCCGAGCUCAAAACAGACUAUGUGAGUAUGAUCUGAUCCCCCUUUAGAGGAUUCCACUGAGAGACAAUGUCACAUUUAACUCUAACUAGCACAAUUUCAUUUCUCGAUGCUACCCAAAUCUCUAUUUAGAAUGUCACCAAGUUUACUAUUGUUAUAGUCCAUGCAUUCAUAGGGUUCUAUGUCCACAUUCUAUGUUCAUAUGUUCUUGCAAUUAAUAAGAAUUCACACUUUCACUUGCACAAUGCCAAAUACCCUUAUAAUACAUAACUACAAAUAUAAAUAUGCUCAAUGAAUUAUCAUAGAUAUAAAAGGUGAUUCAAAGAUUUCGGAUAGUACCACCCACCUGUAGUGGUGUCAACAACUAAGAUCUCACGUCUCGAAACGCGUCGACAACUAGCUCUCACGACUCCAUGCAAAUAGGACUAGAACGGCCUCUACCGUAAUUAGCGCGUCGCCGACCUGUCGGAAAGUCAAUUUAGACUUUCGAGCAAAUUUAACUUUCAUUUAUAUAAGAGUAAAAGGGAUUAAACUAGAGUCAUUGUUCAUAUUUUACAAGUUAGCCUUUCCAACUCCAAGUAUCCAUGUAUAUGUAUAUACUAUCAUUCAUAUAUACAUAUCAGCUCAAUGCUGAUUUCAGCACUAAGCGGAAAUGUAUGCUGCAUUAUCAGCAUUUCACCUCUUCUUUGAGCAACUAAUACAAGCAUAGGACCAUUAGUUCUCAUGCUUAGGAUUCUAUUAGAGCAACCAAUUACCAUUCAUCUCAAUCUGUUAUUAAAUUUGCUCUUUCUCAGCCUUAACAGCCUUAACAGCCUUAACAUCAAAAUAAAUUCUCCAAUGCUGAAUUUCAGCAUUUGAACUUCACGGUUUUCUUGGCAGCUCUACUAUACAGGAAUCAGAGGAAUUUACCUUCAAUUUCAUUUAACACUAGAGUUAAUCAAAAUCCAUUUUACUCUAGUCAUUUCUACUUUGAAAUCCACCAGGUCUAACACUCAAUUAGCUAGUUCCAACUCUAACAGUCAAUAGAGUUCAAUGCUGAAAUUUACCUUUUGUCUCACUCUUUUCCAGCUUACUCAAAUCUGUAGUACUUCAUUAAGUGACACCAAAUUAAAGAGGAGCAGCAACUUACUUAAUUAAAACUUCACUCAACUCAGGACACAAGUAUCUAUUAACUGAUUUCCACUUCAUCCUGAAUCUCAGGUCUGAGAUUUCAGCAACAUUAACUUCUUUAUAAGUCAACACUUAGGUAAUUAAUUGGCCUAUAAGUAGCUACUAAUCCAAUCUUACCUCAGCUGCAGCCCUGCUUCAGUUUCAGCAGCAACAUAAAGACAUAUAGGUUAGCUCCAAUACUUCUUAUUUCAGCUCCAAAGCUGAAAUUCCAGCAGCGAAGCUCUUAGUUGAUCCAUUUUAAAGUAACCAACUUGACUAUAACCCAAUAGGGGGAAUGAACUUACUUUAGUUUGAUGCUGAUUUAGCUUGCUUGCUUCAUCAGAUGGUCCUUUCCCUCAUUUCGACAGCAACAACAACAACACUUCACUUCAACUCUUCUUCAACAACCCAAUUCAGCAACUCAUCAAUCCAGAAGCUUAAUUCUGAAUUCGAAGCUCUCUAGAAGCUUCCUUCUUAGCUCACAGUCCCUAUUAUACCAGCACACUUAUUCUCUCAGGUUCCCUCUAAUGAUAAUACAUCUAACUUUAGCUGAAAAGUAAGCUUCUUACUCAAAUUGGAUGCUUCUUUAGUUGAAUUCUUCAACUUGGUAGCCUGCGAGUACCAGAUCAGCCCCAAACUGAAAUUUCCUGCAACACAUGUCCCAAUUAUUCAUUUAGAGGCUGCCCUAAAGCACCUACUAAGUUCCCAGCUGAAAAGCAAUAUACACACCCCAAUUCCAAGCUCUCUCAGCUGAAGUCCCUGCUCGCAGCAUCAAUAAGCCCAAUCCAUCAAGCUCCCAACUCCCAAGAGUCCAUAUAAACAUCUUUUUCAAGGUAAUUAACAAGAAAUCCAUGAGUCUUAAUCAAGUUUACCUUGAUUAGUUGCUAUUCCAGGUGACUUAGCAACUCUAAUCAGCAGCAAUUUCCUGUUCGAUUCAGUUUUCUUCCUUAGCCAGCAACACUCCAAGCUGCCAGCACCAAACUCCUCAACUCUUCUUAGCUCAGAGAGAGAAGGAGAAGAAGAAAAGAUGAAAGAAGAGAAGAGAAUGGAGAGCUCUGGUCUUAGACAGGUGUAAUCCACUAGGGGUGAGAUGAUAAGCUCGAAAAAUUGCAGUUUAGCCCCUUAAAACUGAGAAAUUGCAUAGUUGGCAAUUGCUGCCUGUAACACACUGGACCAUUGCAAAUUGCGAGGUUCGAGUGUUUGGAUGUAUUUCGAGCUUUUCCACACUUGGUGGAGGGUUGUAGAAUGUUUUCCGACCUAAAAAGUUCGAAAACUGGAAUUCUGGACAAGUCCUGAGAGUUUUUACUCUCGGGGACCGGUCCCUGGAAGGAGAGACCGGUCCCCCAGUGAGCAGUGUUGAGGCAGCCUGAGGCAACCGGUCCCUGGCAGGCGAGACCGGUCCCCGAGCGCGUCUUCGCAGUGAGAGACCGGUCCCGCGCAGGGAGAGACCGGUUCCCGAACGUUGGUUUUUCGGGUUCGCAGCGAGAGACCGGUCCCUGCUGGGGAGAGACCGGUCCCUCUGGGCGAAAACUGCCCAGUUCGGGCUGAUGUAAAUUUGAAUUUUUGAGGGGCCUCUCCGGAUUUUGUUACACUAGAUGGGCUUAUUAGCCAUUUCCUCCUCUUCCCUCUCUCAUUUUCUCAUUCUCACCCUCUCCCUACACUUUCUAGAGAGAGAAGAAGAAGAAGAAGGAGGAGAAGAAGGAGAGGAGCUAGCUUGAGGGAGCUUGGAGCUCAACCCCUUUCUCUCUUUUCCACCUUUGCAAGGCUUGGAGCUUGCUUGUAGAGCUUGGUGGUGGACCAAUCUUCAACCCUAGAAGAUUUGGAGCUUGUUUGGAGGCAUCUUGGGAGGUUAGUACUUGGAUUCUACCCUUUGAUCCUUGAUUUGGUAGGUUUUACCAUAUGAAACCCUAGUUUUGGGACUUAGGGUUUAUUUUGGGCUUUUUGAACCUAGGGCUUUUGAGGCUUGAUUGGUUGGUUUAGAACCUUCCUAGGGCUUGGAUUGGAAGGGUUCAAGCUCUCUUUUGGAGCUUUGGGAGAGAUUUCUACUCUUGAGGUUAGUUUUGGCCCUUUUUGCUUCUAGGUUAAUGUUUGAUAUUAUAAGAUGGUCGUAAUGCCCUCGUAUCUCUUCGCUGAUUACUUUUAGGGUAUUUUGAGACUCGGGGACAACUUUGUUCGGCGAAACGAGACCCUACGCGACGGUUCGGUGGGUUUGACCUAGCCUACAUAUGAGAAAUUCUCAUAUGUGGUUAUAUAUGUUCCGUAAAUUGAAAAAGCAUGCAUAUUCAUACUAAAUGUAUUUAUUAUGAUUUUUAGAAUGCUUAAAAUGCAUAUGUUAUAUAUAAUGAAAUUUUGGACCUCUAUGUAGUAGAGAGUUGCUUGAGAGAGAGUUGGUUGCAUUUAGCAUUCUAUACGAGAUUUGGUUUCAUGUUUCUAUAGUGUAAUGAGUUCGAAUUCAUGCAUUUAAACUUAAGUUUACUUGUGACAUGAAAGAUGAUGAAAUUGCCAUAUAGAGGUACUGAGCUAGAAUGUAUGUGAACUAGAGAGCUAAUGUCAUCAAGCGGCAUUGAGCUCGGGACAUGUGUGAACCUAGUGGAUAGGGCCAUUGAGGGACUUGGGAUACAUGUUGGACAUCAAAUUGCCUAAGUGUCAUCAAGGGGCACUAGGCGUAGCAAAAGCUGAAAAUUCACAUUAUGCCUUAAACUAGAUCUUCGGGAUGCUAGUGACUAUACCAUGUUAGAGACAUGAGGAUUGGAUACUUGAGACUUGGACUUUGCUUGCUUGCCAUUUGUGCUCAUUCGCACAUGCUUGUGAGGGUCGCUCCCUACAAGCCGGCACUCCGGAGUUAGCCUAUGCGACUUUUGUUCGCUCGUGCGGUAUCGAGAAGCCUACGGGGUCGAGUGGGACAGACACAUUCCAUGUGUAGGAAUGUCGGGCUACCACAGCCACUUAGGCGGCACAAGCUGGACUACCUUUGGUAGGUCUUUAAGUGGAAAUGAAAAUCGACACGGGGUUGUGAGUGGUUAAUCACUACUAGAUAGGUUAGUAGUUGAAUGACAUUUAUAUGCUUUUAGCAUAGGGUUGAGACAUGCAGUAUACUGGAUAGUCUCCUUUUGCAUUAAAGCAUACUUGGUUGCCAUGACAGAACUUAUGCAUAAUGUAUUCAUAAAGGUUAAUGAUUUACCAUUUGAUAUCAUAGAUGUACAUCACCAUAACAUCGUGUAUACCUGAGAUUAGUAAUUUAGCAUUUUAAUUAUGCUUUCAUAUCGCAGUCAUUAUUACUAUUAUUAUUGUACUUACCCUUUUCUUUUGGGGCCUAGUGGUGCAUAGAGCUGAGGUCAGUAAUUGCCCACUGGGAACUAUAAAUUAUAGUUCUCACGCCCUCUUUUUCUCGAUGUUUUUCAGAGCCUUCCGCUCAGGGUGAGUUCAGGGACCGUAGGAAGGAAGUUGCUUCGAGCUAGCUUCUUUCGAUGGAAACGAUUGCUAGGUGGUCUACCUCUCGUUGUAUUUUCAUUUUGGAGAGGUUGAGAGUUUUUUACCCGUGUACUAGUGACCACCAUUUUUGUAUUAGAGCUGAUUCUGUAUAAUUUUUUUUUAAAAAAAUGUUUACGUUUUAUGUUUUAGUCACGUUCAGUUACUAAUUGUGUAGAUGAUAGAACUUUACUCGCUCUGAUAUCAUUAGUUGCUAGUUAUUUCACUUCUUUUAUUUGUUCUAUCUCUUGCUUUACUUCCGCUUUUGUUGUAGACGCGUUAUAUGUGUAGACAUAUGGUGGGUCUGGGCAUGCUACCGGGAGGGCCUUCGCCGGUCCCGGGGCGUGACAGAUUAAUUUGGUAUCAGAGCCUAGGGUUGAGUCUUAGAGGACCUAGCAAACCUUAGGCCGGUUGGACUAUAGGAAUUAGGCUCGUGAGAGACGAGGUCUAUUUGACUUGUGAGCGAAAGUAUCCUGAUUGGGUGUCUUGACAACUCUAAAAAGUUAGAGUUCGAUCGGAGUGUAUGGCUUCUAACUUCGCGGAGGGUUACGUUGGCGGCCGACAACGUAACAUCGGGAGUUAGUAGUGAAGGACACUUUCUUACUUUCGCAUGAUUUUGGGUUUUAUCGUUUUGAGUGGGGAUGCGAUAGCGUGGGUUAUUAACUUGCGCUUUUAUGUUUUGUAGUGUCGAUGCCGGUUACACGCUCCCAGUCUGCCGGGGCAGAUGAUGCGGCACAUCCCGAGGAGGUUGAGACUUCCGCUACUUCCGGAUCUAGUGAGGUCCGUGACUUGAGGGCCCAGUUUGCGGUUCUCACUGAUCUGUUGGCGCAGCAGACGGCAGCGGCGCAGCGACAGGCUGAGGUGGCUCAGCGGCAGGAGGCGCGGAUGAAGCAUCUUGAGGACCUUCUACUUCAGCAGGCAGCAGCUUCGAGGGAGACCCAGGGCCCCACACCGCCAGCACCCGUGGUGGACGUCGCACCGAGGGCGCAGUCCCCCGCGCCCAGUUCUUCACGUGCGGCACCGGCGACCGCACCUCGGGAGGAGGUGGUUGCGGCAUUACCAGUUCAGAGACCGGCAACGGGAACAGCUUUCCCCGUGAUGGCCGAGGGAGCCGAGCGGGAUCGGCUCAUGGAUCGCCUCAGUGAGUUUAGGAGGUGCAGCCCGAGGACGUUUGAUGGCGAGAACGUCGACCAAUGGAUUGUUGAGAAGUGGUUGCUGCACAUGGAGAAGCUGUUUCGAGAUACCUUCGUUGAGGAGAGGGACAGGGUUUGACUCGCCACUCACUUUCUGGACGGCGAGGCCUAUCGUUGGUGGUUGGAUAUCCAGGACAACCCCAACACCGACUUGGCAGCGAUUACUUGGACGAGGUUCAAGGAGCUUCUUCUGGCGCACCACUUCCCGACCAGCGUCAAGAGGAAGAUGGAGCAGGAUUUGCGCAGCUUGCGCCAGGACGAGCGGUCAGUGGCUGAGUACGAGAGGGAGUUCUCCCGGAUACUAUAUUGUGUACCGUUUGUUGUGAGGGACAACGAGGACAAGGCCCGCAUCUUUGAGCACGGUUUGCGGCCUUCUAUCUUCCGGUUGGUGCAGUCUUCCAACUUCCAGACCUACCGGGAGGUUGUGGAUCGAGCUUUGAUAGUGGUGGCAGGAGCGGCAGACCUUCAGGAGCGACGCGAGGCCCUAGACAAGGGCAAGGGAAAGUGACCCGCGGCUGAGGGUGCGAGCCAGACGCACUCACGUAGGCCGCCGAGGCACCCCAGGAGUCGGAGCCAGUCGCGAGGACGUGGCCAGUCUGCUCAGCGAGGAGGACCCGAUCAUUGUGAGGCCCCCCGCUGCGUGAUCUGUGGCGGUCCUCAUUACCCGCGGCAGUGUUCACGCAGCCGGGGCAGGUGCUUCUUGUGUGGCCAAGAGGGCCACUUCCAGUCGGACUGUCCGAGGAGUCCAGCGCCAGCGCCAUCUUCGGCAUCUGCACCAGCAUCGCCGGGCCCCAGCCAGGGAACAUCUUUGGCGCAUUAUCAGGCUGGGCGGCCGCUAGUUCAGCGGCAGGUGGAGGGGUCACGACAGGCCCCGAGCGAGCGCAUGUACGCGGCCCAGACUGAGGCGGCGGCAGCCGAGAAUGUGGUCGCAGGUAUCAUUUUACUUUAUGGUAUUCGAGCUAGAGCUUUGUUUGAUACCGGUGCAUCGCAUUCAUUCAUAAACCGGCUGUUUGCCGAGUUGCAUGGCAUCCCACUUGCAUCCUUGUUGCAUCCGGGACGAGUUGUUGUACCCGAUCAUUUUUUGGACAUUCGGGAGUUUUGCCCCAGUUGCCCUGUUCGGGUUGGAGAUUAGAUCAUGCCCGUGGACUUGCUAGCUUUGCAUAAACUCGGGGAGUUUGAUGUAGUGUUGGGCAUGGACUGGUUGACUAAGUACUACGCCACUAUCGAUUGCAAGGAUCGAACGGUGACUUUUAGAGAGCCGGGGCAGGCGGAGGUUGUGUACCGAGGAUGCCAGAGUUCGCUGUUUGCGAUGACGAUUAGCUCCUCUCGAGCUAGGCAAUUGAUUAGUAGAGGCUGCGUAGCCUAUUUGCUACUGUCGUGUUGCGGGGCGAUGCGGACAGCCCUAGGAUUGAGGAUAUCCCCGUAGUACGGGAGUUUAGAGACGUGUUCCUAGCGGAGCUUCCAGGCAUGCCACCUGAUAAGGAGAUUGAGUUUGUGGUAGAUCUCGUUCCCGGGACUACUCCAAUCUCAAAGGCACCCUAUAGGAUGGCACCAACAGAAUUGAAGGAGCUGAAGGCACAGUUGCAGGAUCUUCUGGAUAAAGGUUUUGUGCGACCGAGUGUGUCUCCUUGGGGAGCACCGGUCUUGUUUGUUAAGACGAAGGAUGGAUCACUUCGCUUGUGCGUGGAUUAUCGUGAACUUAAUAAAGUCACGAUUAAGAAUAAAUACCCUUUACCGAGGAUUGAUGACUUAUUUGAUCAACUCCAGGGAUCUUGUGUAUAUUCCAAGAUUGUCUUGCAGUCGGGAUAUCACCAGUUGAGGAUCAGACCUGAGGAUGUAUCGAAGACGGCUUUUAGAACACGGUAUGGACAUUAUGAGUUUACCGUUAUGCCGUUUGGGCUUACUAAUGCCCCAGCAGCUUUUAUGGAUUUAAUAAACCGUGUUUUCAAGCCUUACUUAGACAGGUUCGUCGUGGUGUUCAUCGACGAUAUUUUGGUCUAUUCCCGAAGUGAUGCGGAUCACGAGGAACACUUGAGACUUGUACUUCAAGUGCUUCGGGAAAAGAAGCUCUACGCCAAGUUGAAAAGUGUGAAUUUUGGCUUAGAGAGGUGGCGUUUUUGAGCCAUGUGAUUUCAGGAUCAGGCAUAGCAGUGGACCCGAGGAAAAUUAAAGCUAUCAAGGAUUGGCCGAGGCCAACGAGUGUGACCGAGAUAUGGAGCUUCAUUGGUGUGGCCGGCUACUACCGACGGUUUGUUGAGGGAUUUGCAAAGUUAUCUACUCCCCUCACGAGGCUCACGCAUAAAGGAACUAAGUUCAUUUGGAAUGAUGCUUGUGAAAGGAGCUUUCAAGAGUUGAAGCAGCGAUUGACGACUGCCCCGAUCCUUACCUUGCCGACUGCUGGAGCAGGGUAUGUGAUUUAUAGUGAUGCUUCAUUUAAUGGAUUGGGCUGUAUUUUGAUGCAGGACGGGAAAGUGAUCGCGUAUGCAUCUCGCCAAUUGAAGGAUUAUGAAAGAAACUAUCCUACCCAUGACUUGGAGUUGGCGGCCGUGGUCUUUGCAUUGAAGCUAUGGUGCCACUACUUAUAUGGCGAGCGGUGCGAAGUAUAUACGGAUCACAAGAGCUUAAAGUAUCUUUUCACUCAGAAGGAGUUGAACUUGAGGCAGCGCAGAUGGUUGGAGCUACUCAAGGACUAUGACUUGACUAUUCUUUACCACCCGGGCAAGGCUAACGUGGUGGCAGAUGCGCUAAGUAGGAAAUCGACUGAGAACUUAGCAAUGCACUUAGUUACUCAACCGCGGUUAAUCGAGCAGAUAAAGCGGUUGGAGUUGGAGGUGGUGACUCCUGACACGCCUUUGAGGUUGAUGACGUUGGUGGUGCAACCUACAUUACUGGACCGAAUUAAAGAAAAGCAAGCUUCCGAUGUGGAGUUGCAAAAGAUUAAAGGUAAAAUGGUUGAUGGUUGCACCGGUGACUUCACUUUUGACAGCGAAGGAUUGAUGCGUUUCCGCGGACGACUUUGUGUACCGGCGGACUUGGGCGUUAAAGAGGACAUUCUUCAUGAAGCACACCGAGCACCGUAUGCUGUACAUCCGGGAGGCAUCAAGAUGUACAAGGACUUGAAGUUGCUUUACUGGUAGCCCGGGAUGAAAAAGGAUGUUGGUGAGUUUGUUGCUAGAUGUUUAACCUGCCAACAGGUGAAGGCUGAGCACCGAGUUCCUGCGGAGAAGUUGCAGAGCCUACCGAUUCCAGUGUGGAAGUGGGAAAAGAUCACCAUGAAUUUCGUGAUGGGAUUGCCUCGCUCACAGGCCGGGCAUGAUGCUAUUUGGGUAAUCGUGAAUAGAUUGACGAAAUCGGCACAUUUCAUACCUAUCCACACUACUUGGACUGGUGAGAGACUCGCACAGGUUUAUUUGGACGAGAUUGUGCGAUUGCAUGGGGUACCCACUUCUAUAGUGUCAGAUCGAGACCCCCGUUUUGUAUCCUAUUUUUGGAGGAGCUUACAGGACGCUCUGGGUACGCGCUUGGACUUCAGUACUGCUUUCCACCCCCAGAGUGACGGGCAGACGGAGCGUACGAUACAGACUCUCGAGGAUAUGCUGCGAGCCUGCGCGAUUGACUUCCAGGGAGGAUGGUCGCAGCAUCUACCGAUGGCAGAGUUUGUUUAUAACAACAGUUAUCAAGCAAGCAUCAAGAUGGCACCGUUCGAGGCACUUUAUGGACGGAAGUGUAGAUCGCCACUUUAUUGGAGUGAAGUCGGUGAGAGAUUGGCUUUAGGCCCUGAUGUGCUCUAGGAAGCGGAGGACAAGGUUCGGAUUACUCGGGAGUGAUUGUUGACAGCCCAGAGUAGGCAGGGGAGUUACGCUGAUCGGCGUCGACGAGACUUGGAGUUUUAGAUUGGAGAUCAUGUCUUCUUGAAAGUCUCGCCGACUCGAGGGAUUAGACGAUUUGGAAUCCGGGGCAAGUUGAGCCCCCGAUUCAUUGGACCGUUUGAGGUUUUGGAGCGGGUAGGCCUGGUAGCGUAUAGACUUGCUUUACUGCCGAACCUAUCGGGUGUACACAACGUAUUCCAUGUAUCGGUCCUUCGGAAGUACAUCCACGACCCGGCUCAUGUCUUGGACGCCACGCCUUUGGAGCUGAGGGAUGAUUUGAGCUUUGAAGAGCAACCCUUGAGGAUUUUGGCUCGCGAGGUAAAAAGAUUGCGGAACCGAGAAAUUCCUUACGUGAAGGUGCUUUGGAGCAACCACGACGAGCGCGAGGCCACUUGGGAACUGGAAAGCGCGCUGCGGGAGCGCUACCCCCAUCUUUUUCAGAUGGAAGCUUGAGGUACUUGUCAUCUCGAGUUUCGCGGACGAAACUCCCUUUUAGGAGGGGUGAAUGUAGCGCACUGGACCUUUGCAAAUUGCGAGGUUCGAGUAUUUGGAUGUAUUUCGAGCUUUUCCACACUUGGUAGAGGGUUGCAGAAUAUUUUUCGACCUAAAAAGUUCGAAAACUGAAAUUCUGGGCAAGUCCUGAGAGUUUUUACUCUCGGGGACCGGUCCCUGGAAGGAGAGACAGGUCCCCCAGUGAGCAGUGUUGCGGCAGCCCUGAGGCAACCGGUCCCUGGCGGGCGAGACCGGUACCCGAGCGCGCCUUCGCAGUGAGAGACCGGUCCCGCGCAGGGAGAGACCGGUUCCCGAACGUUGGUUCUCCGGGUUCGCAGCGAGAGACCGGUCCCUGCUGGGGAGAGACCGGUCCCUAUGGGCGAAAACUGCCCAGUUCGGGCUGAUGCAAUUUUGGAUUUUUGAGGGACCUAGCUGGAUUUUGUUACAAUAGAGGGUCUAUAUGACCCAUCCCCUCUCUCUUCUUCUCAUUUCCCUCCUCACACUCUCCCCACACCCUUGUUAGAGAGAGAAGGAGAAAGAGAAGAAGAAGGAGGAGAAGAAGGAGAAGGAGAGGGUUUUGGUGGACUUGGAGCAUUUCUUUGCCUCUUUUCCUCUUCCCACCUUGUUGAUGCUUGAAGGCUUGCACUUGGAGCUUGCCAAGAGGAGAUCUUCACCCUUUGAGCUUGGAUUGAAUCUUCUUAGAGUUUGGUAGCCCUUUCUCUCUAUCUAGACUUUGGAUUUGAGGCUUUCUUUGUGUUGGAACCCUAGAAUGAGGUUUAGGGUUGAUUUUGGGGCUUUUUGAUCUAGGGCUUUUGAGGCUAGAUUGAUUGGUUUAGAACCUUCCUUGGGCUUGGAUUAGAAGGGUGCUAGCUCUCUUUUGGAGCUUUGGAAGAGAUUUCUUCUCUUGAGGUGAGUUUUAGCCCUUUUGUCUUGUUGGUUAAUCAUUGAUUGUAUAAGAUGAUCGUAAUGCCCGUGUAUCUUGUCGCUCAAUACUUUUAAGGUAUUUUGAGACACGGGGACAACUUUGUUCAGCGAAACGAGGCCCUACGCGACGGUUCGGUGGGUUUGACCUAGCCUAUAUAUGAGAAAUUCUCACAUAUGGUUAUAUAUGUUCCGUAAAUGGGAAAAGCAUGCAUAUUCAUACUAAAUGUAUUUAUUAUGAUGUUUAGAAUGCUUAAAUGCCUAUGUUACAUAUGAUGAAAUUUUGGACCUCUAUGUAGUAGAGAGUUGCUUGGGAGAUCUAUGGUUGCAUUUAGCAUUCUUUAUAAGACUUGAUUCCAUGCUUCUAUAGUGUAAAUUAGUUCGGAUUCAUGCAUUUAAACUUAAGUUUACUUGUGGUAUGAAAGAUGACAAAAUUGCCAUUUAGAAGGUGUGUGAACUAGCGAGCUAAUGUCAUCAAGCGGCAUCGAGCUCGGGACAUGUGUGAACCUAGUGGAUAGGGCCAUUGAGGAAUGUGGAACAUGCUUAAACAUUAAAUGUCUAAGUGUCAUAAAGGGGCACUAGACGUAGCAAAUGUUGAAACUUCACAUUGUGACUUGAACUAGAUAUUCGGGAUGCUAGUGACUACACCAUGUUAGAGACAUGAGGAUUGGAUACUUGAGACUUGGACUAUGCUUGCUUGCCAUUUGUGCUCAUUCGCACAUGCUUGUGAGGGUCGCUCCCUACAAGCCGGCACUCCGGAGUUAGCCUACGCGACCUAUGUUCGCCGUGCGGUAUCGAGAAGCCUACGGGGUCGGGAAGGAUAGACUCAUUCCUAGAGUGGGAAUGUUGGGGCUACCACCGACACUUAGGCGGCACAAGCUGGAUUACAAUAUGUAGAUCCUAAAACAUGUUUGAUUAAUGACAUUGAACCGGGAAUGGAUAAUCACUACUAGAUAGGUUUAGUAGUUGAAUUACAUUUAUAUGCUUUUAGUAUAGUGUUGAGACAUGUAGUAUACUUGAUAGUUUUUUAUUGCAUUAAAGCAUACCUGGUUGUCAUGACAGAACUUAUGCAUCACGUAUUGAUAAAGGUUAAUGACAUUUAACUAUUGCCAUUGGACAUACUAUUAUGAUAUCGUAGAUGUACAUCACCAUGACAUCGUGCAUACUUGAGUUUAGUAAUUUAGCUUUUUAAUUAUGCUUUUAUAUCGCAGUCAUUAUUGCUAUUAUUAUUGUACUUACCUUUUUCUUUUGGGGCCUAGUGGUGUAUAGAGCUGAGGUCAGUAAUUGCCCACUGGUAAUUAUAAAUUAUAGUUCUCACGCCCUCUUUUUCUCGAUGUUUUUCAGAGCCUUCCACGCAGGGAGAGGCCAGGGAUCGCGGAAAGGGUAUCGCCUCGGGCUAGCGUGCUUACCGAGGGAUCGUUCGAUAGGUGGUCUACCUCUCGUGUUUUCUUUUUGUGAGAGGUUGAGAGUUGUACCCGUAUAUGUAUAGAGACCACCAUUUUUGUACUUGAGGCAGAUAUUGUACUACUUAUGGUUUCUUUUAUUGUCUAGCUUUAUUUCUAUACUUUGGUGUAGAUGAUAGAACUUUACUCGCUCUGAUAUCAUUAGUUGCUAGUUAUUUCACUUCUUUUAUUUGUUCUAUCUCUUGCUUUACUUCCGCUUUUGUUGCGAGGUCGAUGACCAUCCCAGUUCUAGCCCCGCCAUCAGUUAGCAACGAAGUUGAGAACCUUCGAAGAGAGCGUGCGUAGUAAGGUUUACUUGAACUGAGGAAAUACGCACUCAGAGCACUCCCCUCAUCUAUUGGAACGUUUAGGGAGUUGCUUAGAGGCCAUCAUUGGCCGGUUAGGUUCCUACGAGGCAUAGAGGCACUGCGAGCAGCUAGAGCUGGUUAGGAACUAACGAAGUUAGAAGAAUCCUAGGUGCACAGUGCGGGGCCCUGGCCGCCUCCGGGAGGGCCAUCGCACGGGUCUGUGCGGUAUACAGAUGUGUAUAUUCCGCAAAUGUCANACAUAUGGCGGGUCUUGGCACGCUACUGGGAGGGCCUUCGCCGGUCCCGGGGCGUGACAACUUCAUUCGAGAUUGCCCGGGAGGAGGAGCCUCACCAGCCCCCUCGAUUGCAUUGGCGCCGGCGUUCCCGGCUGAUUUUGGAGGAGCCCCACCGACAACCGCGUCGACUGGACGCGCGAUGAUGCCGCGUCAACCUGAAGUGACGCGAUCGGCCCCGAGCGGACGGGUGUUCGCCGCUCAGGUCCAAGCUGAGGAGCCUGCAGAGGCAGAGGAGCAUCACCUUGUGGCUGGUAUGGUUUUAAUUAAUGGAGUUCGCUCCAGGGCUUUAUUUGAUACAGGAGCCACGCAUUCAUUCAUAAGUAGAUCAUUCGCACGCAUGCAUGACAUUCUCAUAGAAGCGAGUGACAAGUGGCGAGUGUAGUGCCCUGGGUCGACGUUUAACACCUACUCAGAGUGUGCGUCAUGUCCAGUACAAAUAGGCGACUAGAUUAUGCCUAUCCGGACGCUAGAACUCACAAAGCUUGAGGCUUACGACGUCAUUCUGGGUAUGGACUGGCUCUCGAACUAUCACGCAACGAUCGACUGCAAGAGCAGGGUGAUCAUAUUCCGUGAGCCAGGACAAGAGGAGUUCACCUAUCGGGCUUGUCAGAGCUCGUGCUUCGUCGCGACAGUAUCGGCGACAAGAGCAAGGAAAUUGGUUAACAGCGGUUGCACGGCAUUUUUGGUGACUGUUGUGGAAGUGGAACGAGUAGCUCGAACGUUAGAGGAGCUAUCACUGGUGCGGGAGUUCCCGGAUGUAUUUCCCACGGAGUUGCCGGGGAUACCACUUGAUCGGGAGAUCGAGUUCGUCAUAGACUUGGUUCCUGGUACCGCACCGAUUUCGAAGGCUCCAUACAGAAUAGCGCCGGCGGAAUUGAAAGAGUUGAGGAGUCAACUGCAAGACCUCCUCGACAAGUAAUUUAUCCGGCCAAGUGUAUCACCGUGGGGAGCCCCGGUGUUGUUUGUGCAGAAAACUGCGUUUCGUACGCGGUAUGGACAUUACGAAUUCACGGUCAUGCCAUUUGGACUCACGAAUGCUCCAGCGGCAUUUAUGGAUUUGCUGAACCGUGUCUUCAAGAAGUAUUUGGAUCGAUUUGUCGUGGUCUUCAUAGAUGACAUAUUGGUCUAUUCUCGUAGUGACGAGGAACAUGCCGGGCAUUUGAGAAUAGUGCUUCAAGUCCGUCGGGAGGAGAAGCUAUAUUCUAAAUUGAAGAAGUGUGACUUCUGGCUUUGCGAGGUCGCCUUCCUAGGGCAUGUGAUUUUCACGGUUGGAGUUUCUGUAGACCCGAGGAAGGUUGAGGCAAUCAGGGAUUGGCCGCGCCCGACGAAUGUCACGGAGGUUCGAAGCUUCGUGGGCCUGGCGGGCUAUUAUAGGCAGUUUGUGGAAGGCUUUUCCAAGAUAGUGAUUCCACUUACCCGCCUGACCCAGAAAGGCACCAAGUUUGUUUGGAGCGAAGAAUGUGACCGGAGUUUCAAAGAGUUGAAGCAAAGAUUGACUUCGACUCCGGUGCUCGCUCUACCAGUGCAGGGCGAAGACUUCGUAGUCUACAGCGAUGCCUCCUAUCUUGGGUUGGGAUGUGUAUUGAUGCAAAACGGGAAGGUAAUCGCCUACGCAUCCCGUCAGCUGAAGAGCUAUGAGAAGAACUACCCCAUCCAUGAUUUGGAGCUGGCGCCGGUGAUUUUCGCCUUGAAGCUGUGGAGGCACUAUUUAUAUGGUGCCCAUUGUGAGAUCUAUACCGACCACAAGAGCUUGAAGUACCUGUUCACACAGAAGGAGCUCAAUAUGCGUCAGCGGCGGUGGUUGGAAUUAUUAAAGGAUUAUGAUGUCGAUAUCCUCUACCACCCCGGGAAGGCAAAUGUGGUCGCGGACGCACUAAGUAGGAAGUCGGCGAAGAACCUCGCUUUUGAUGUUACCCAGCAAACACCCCUUUGGCUGGAUAUGGAGCGAUUGAACCUUGAAGUGGUCGCUCCCGAGGUCCCGACUCAGUUGAUGGCACUCGUUGUCCAACCGACCUUGUUGGAGAGGAUUAAAGAUCUGCAACCUGCAGACCCGGAACUCCAAAAGGUGCGGCGAAACAUCGAGGAAGGGCGUGGCGGCGAUUUCAAGGUAGACGCCGAUCGUACGCUUCGGUUUCGGAACCGAUGGUAUGUGCCGAAAGGUGGAGAGCUUCGUGAAUUGAUUAUACAAGAAGCACACCGAUCUCCAUAUGCUGAUCACCCGGGCAGCACCAAGAUGUAUCAGGGACUAAAAAUGCAUUAUUGGUGGCCGGGAAUGAAGAGCGAUAUUGGACGCUUUGUGUAAUAUACCGAAAAUUCGGAGAAUAAAUAUCGAACUUUAGUCAAAUUGACCAAAGUGCGAGGAAGGUACACUUCGGAAAGUCCGAAGGUGUUAAAGUGAUUAAAAGUGAGUUACGGGAGGUUUUCGAGAGCUAAAGAAUCAAAUUCUGCAAAACUGCAGAUUUUGAGCUCUCGGGGACCGGUCCCUGGUGGGAGAGACCGGUCCCCGAACGCGUGCAGAAUGAGACAGCCGAAAAAUCGGCUAAGUCCUGGAAGGUUAACUCUCGGGAACCGGUCCCUGCCUGAGAGACCGGUCCCCGAGAGACCGGUCCCCCAAGGAGGGACCGGAUGCAUUGCGCGCGGCAGCUCUGGCUGCGCAGGGUGGACCUUCGGGGACCGGUCUGUAAUAUACCGAAAAUUCGAAAAAUAAAUAUCGAACUUUAGUCAAAUUGACCAAAGUGCGAGGAUGGUACACUUCGGAAAGUCCGAAGGUGUUAAAAUGAUUAAAAGUGAGUUACGGGAGGUUUUCGAGAGCUAAAGAAUCAAAUUCUGCAAAACUGCAGGUUUUCAGCUCUCGGGGACCGGUCCUUGGUGGGAGAGACCGGUCCCCGAACGCGUGCAGAAUGAGACAGCCGAAAAAUCGGCUAAGUCCUGGAAGGUUAGCUCUCGGGAACCGGUCCCUGCCUGAGAGACCGGUCCCCGAGAGACCGGUCCCCCAAGGAGGGACCGGAUGCAUUGCGCGCGGCAGCUCUGGCUGCGCAGGGUGGACCUUCGGGGACCGGUCUGUAAUAUACCGAAAAUUCGAAAAAUAAAUAUCGAACUUUAGUCAAAUUGACCAAAGUGCGAGGAUGGUACACUUCGGAAAGUCCGAAGGUGUUAAAAUGAUUAAAAGUGAGUUACGGGAGGUUUUCGAGAGCUAAAGAAUCAAAUUCUGCAAAACUGCAGGUUUUCAGCUCUCGGGGACCGGUCCUUGGUGGGAGAGACCGGUCCCCGAACGCGUGCAGAAUGAGACAGCCGAAAAAUCGGCUAAGUCCUGGAAGGUUAGCUCUCGGGAACCGGUCUCUGUCUGAGAGACCGGUCCCCCAGAGACCGGUCCCCCAAGGAGGGACCGGAUGCAUUGCGCGCGGCAGCUCUGGCUGCGCAGGGUGGACCUUCGGGGACCGGUCCCUGCUCGGGGAGACCGGUCUCUGCCUGCGAAAACUGCCCAGUCCAGGCAGUGCACAGUGAUAAAAGUUGAGGGGUUUAUUUGCAUUUUGGCAACCCAAUAGCUAUGUUAUGGGGCCUAAUGAGAUUUUCUCUCAUUUCCUCACCCUCUCACACUCUCUUCUCUCCCUCUCUCUCUCUAGAAGACAAAGGAGAAGAAGAAGAAAGGAAGAGAAGAAGGAGAAAAAGGAAAGGAAGGUGAAGAAGAAGAUCAAGUUGCUUCAUCUUCUUCCUCUCUAGUGCAAAUUAGGGCAAGCUUUGAGGUAAGCUUUGCCCCUUUUCAUGAUAACUCCCAAACUAGGGUUUGGGUAAACCUAGAAAUGAUUUUUAUGGAGCUUUUAAAGUAUUUGAAGCUUUCUUUUUGCUUCUUUAGAGAUCAAAACCGUGGUUGUGCUCAAGGUGAGCUUCAACCCACCUCUAAUGGUGAAAUCCAAACUAGGAUUUUGGAAAGCCUAAGAAUGGUUCUAAUGGACUAUUUAGAGUAUAGUGAAGCUACUUUUGCUUCUCUUUGAGAUCAAACCCUAGGUUUGAUACAUGUAUUGGAGCUAGGGCACCAAAUUGGGGCUUUUGCUUAUGAGGGUAUCUAAGUGAAAUUGAUCCUCUAGAAACCUAAUUGGGGGUAUUUCCGACGCGUUGGUGAGCUCGGAUUUGUGUUACGAAAAGCCGAUGUAAAGAUAUGGGCAAAAUGGCCUAAUUUGGCUUCGUUAUGCCGCAGGUAAAGAACGAAGAGUCUAAAAAUCCCAAGAAAAUCAUCGGAGCACCUUUGAAAGCCUACGAGGUGGGUGGUGCUUCUCAAACUCAUUGAACUUCUCUCUAUGCCUAAUGUGUCAUUCAUUUGAGCAUNNNNNNNNNNNNNNNNNNNNNNNNNNNNNNNNNNNNNNNNNNNNNNNNNNNNNNNNNNNNNNNNNNNNNNNNNNNNNNNNNNNNNNNNNNNNNNNNNNNNNNNNNNNNNNNNNNNNNNNNNNNNNNNNNNNNNNNNNNNNNNNNNNNNNNNNNNNNNNNNNNNNNNNNNNNNNNNNNNNNNNNNNNNNNNNNNNNNNNNNNNNNNNNNNNNNNNNNNNNNNNNNNNGUGGGAAAGUCGGUGAUGUUGAGGCCGAACCCACUGGGAACUUUGUUGUAGUUCUCACCCCACUAUUUCCACAGAGCCGGGACCGAGCGAGCCGGCGAGCGACCGAGGUAAAGGCAUCGCGCCUUAGUCAGAGGCCACCAAAGUCGGGUUCCAUUUUGUAGUAAAGUACCCUAUGAUCAUCUUUUGUACUUGAUGAUGAAUGAUGUAAAGAAAAGAACGUAAUGUGCAUUUUGAGGUAAAUGUGAUGUAAGAAAGAAAUGAUGAAACGAAAUGUAAGAAGCUCGAAGAAUUACAGGUUGACUGCAAUGUAUAUGAUCUAAAUUGAAUCAUAGUACUUAUAAAUGUUUAGUUUUCCUUUCUUUCACUAAUGGCUAUUGCUUACCCUCGUGUAAGCCGUUUGUGUAUGUUUCCGCUAGUGCUUUUCUCUAUUGAUGAAAAUGUACAUGUGAUGAGCCUUGGGCGGAUAGGGGAAACUCUGUCCGUUCGGCGUCUGUUUGACGUGCUCGGGUCGGGCCAAAUUGGACUGCAACACCAGCUGGCUAGAUGCUGUACAUUCAUGUAUCUGCGCUUUAUCCGAGUUAAAUGUAUGCCAAACCGCGUACCGAUAUCGACACACUCGCGAAUCAUUCUACAUAAUAGAACAAUGGUAGAAGACCGGUUGCAUCUAGGCAAAUUCUGGCAUGAAAUGCUAAGUCGAACAACAACACUUUCCAAACAAGUAUCACAUGUCACCAAUCGCAGUAACGGCCGAUUUUACUAAGCCAGGACGGCCUAUUAGAGGCCUGUUCGAACUCAUUAAUGGCCAUAACUCGAUUAGGUCUAUACGCCACGUNNNNNNNNNNNNNNNNNNNNNNNNNNNNNNNNNNNNNNNNNNNNNNNNNNNNNNNNNNNNNNNNNNNNNNNNNNNNNNNNNNNNNNNNNNNNNNNNNNNNNNNNNNNNNNNNNNNNNNNNNNNNNNNNNNNNNNNNNNNNNNNNNNNNNNNNNNNNNNNNNNNNNNNNNNNNNNNNNNNNNNNNNNNNNNNNNNNNNNNNNNNNNNNNNNNNNNNNNNNNNNNNNNNNNNNNNNNNNNNNNNNNNNNNNNNNNNNNNNNNNNNNNNNNNNNNNNNNNNNNNNNNNNNNNNNNNNNNNNNNNNNNNNNNNNNNNNNNNNNNNNNNNNNNNNNNNNNNNNNNNNNNNNNNNNNNNNNNNNNNNNNNNNNNNNNNNNNNNNNNNNNNNNNNNNNNNNNNNNNNNNNNNNNNNNNNNNNNNNNNNNNNNNNNNNNNNNNNNNNNNNNNNNNNNNNNNNNNNNNNNNNNNNNNNNNNNNNNNNNNNNNNNNNNNNNNNNNNNNNNNNNNNNNNNNNNNNNNNNNNNNNNNNNNNNNNNNNNNNNNNNNNNNNNNNNNNNNNNNNNNNNNNNNNNNNNNNNNNNNNNNNNNNNNNNNNNNNNNNNNNNNNNNNNNNNNNNNNNNNNNNNNNNNNNNNNNNNNNNNNNNNNNNNNNNNNNNNNNNNNNNNNNNNNNNNNNNNNNNNNNNNNNNNNNNNNNNNNNNNNNNNNNNNNNNNNNNNNNNNNNNNNNNNNNNNNNNNNNNNNNNNNNNNNNNNNNNNNNNNNNNNNNNNNNNNNNNNNNNNNNNNNNNNNNNNNNNNNNNNNNNNNNNNNNNNNNNNNNNNNNNNNNNNNNNNNNNNNNNNNNNNNNNNNNNNNNNNNNNNNNNNNNNNNNNNNNNNNNNNNNNNNNNNNNNNNNNNNNNNNNNNNNNNNNNNNNNNNNNNNNNNNNNNNNNNNNNNNNNNNNNNNNNNNNNNNNNNNNNNNNNNNNNNNNNNNNNNNNNNNNNNNNNNNNNNNNNNNNNNNNNNNNNNNNNNNNNNNNNNNNNNNNNNNNNNNNNNNNNNNNNNNNNNNNNNNNNNNNNNNNNNNNNNNNNNNNNNNNNNNNNNNNNNNNNNNNNNNNNNNNNNNNNNNNNNNNNNNNNNNNNNNNNNNNNNNNNNNNNNNNNNNNNNNNNNNNNNNNNNNNNNNNNNNNNNNNNNNNNNNNNNNNNNNNNNNNNNNNNNNNNNNNNNNNNNNNNNNNNNNNNNNNNNNNNNNNNNNNNNNNNNNNNNNNNNNNNNNNNNNNNNNNNNNNNNNNNNNNNNNNNNNNNNNNNNNNNNNNNNNNNNNNNNNNNNNNNNNNNNNNNNNNNNNNNNNNNNNNNNNNNNNNNNNNNNNNNNNNNNNNNNNNNNNNNNNNNNNNNNNNNNNNNNNNNNNNNNNNNNNNNNNNNNNNNNNNNNNNNNNNNNNNNNNNNNNNNNNNNNNNNNNNNNNNNNNNNNNNNNNNNNNNNNNNNNNNNNNNNNNNNNNNNNNNNNNNNNNNNNNNNNNNNNNNNNNNNNNNNNNNNNNNNNNNNNNNNNNNNNNNNNNNNNNNNNNNNNNNNNNNNNNNNNNNNNNNNNNNNNNNNNNNNNNNNNNNNNNNNNNNNNNNNNNNNNNNNNNNNNNNNNNNNNNNNNNNNNNNNNNNNNNNNNNNNNNNNNNNNNNNNNNNNNNNNNNNNNNNNNNNNNNNNNNNNNNNNNNNNNNNNNNNNNNNNNNNNNNNNNNNNNNNNNNNNNNNNNNNNNNNNNNNNNNNNNNNNNNNNNNNNNNNNNNNNNNNNNNNNNNNNNNNNNNNNNNNNNNNNNNNNNNNNNNNNNNNNNNNNNNNNNNNNNNNNNNNNNNNNNNNNNNNNNNNNNNNNNNNNNNNNNNNNNNNNNNNNNNNNNNNNNNNNNNNNNNNNNNNNNNNNNNNNNNNNNNNNNNNNNNNNNNNNNNNNNNNNNNNNNNNNNNNNNNNNNNNNNNNNNNNNNNNNNNNNNAUACUCAGACAAGAGAAGCUCUAUGCAAAAUUAAAGAAAUGUGACUUUUGGCUAAAGGAGGUCACAUUCUUGGGUCAUGUGGUAUCGGGCGACGGAGUUUCGGUAGACCCGAAGAAGGUAGAGGCGAUCAAGGAUUGGCCUCGCCCAACGAAUGUAGCGGAGAUCCGCAGUUUUCUUGGACUAGCGGGCUAUUAUCGGCGGUUCGUGGAGGGGUUCGCCAAAAUAACCACUCCACUAACGCGCCUCACGCAUAAAGGAGUAAAGUACGUUUGGAGCGACGAUUGCGAUCGAAGCUUCGAGGAGUUGAAGAACAGAUUGACGUCGACCCCGGUUCUUGCUUUGCCGACUCCGGGGGAGACUUUUGUAGUGUACAGUGAUGCCUCGUAUGUUGGUCUCGGGUGUGUAUUAAUGCAAAACGGGCGGGUCAUUGCUUAUGCAUCGCGCCAAUUAAAGAGUUAUGAGAAGAACUACCCGAUUCACGACCUCGAGUUAGCCGCGGUGAUCUUCGCGCUAAAGCUUUGGAGGCAUUACUUGUAUGGUGAACAUUGUGAGGUAUACACCGAUCACAAGAGUCUAAAGUACUUGUUCACCCAGAAAAAGUUGAACAUGCGACAGCGGCGGUGGUUAGAGUUGCUAAAGGACUAUGAUGUCACCAUAUUAUACCACCCCGGAAAGGCUAAUGUCGUGGCCGAUGCUCUAAGCAGAAAAUCGGCGGAGAACUUAGCGACGGCAAUUACGCCUCAACCGCUAUUGCAAAAAGAAAUGCAACGAUUCGGGUUGGAAGUGGUAGCGCCGGGAGUGCCGGCCACACUUGCCGCACUAGUGGUGCAACCGACCCUAUUCGAGAGAAUUAAAGAGUUACAAACUUCGGAUCCUUAUCUCCAAAAGGUUCGAGGUGAUGUCGAGAGCGGUAAAGCCGAAGAUUUUGGCGUUGAAGCCGAUGGCGCACUUCGAUUUCGAAAUCGAUGGUGUGUACCAAAGGAUGAUGAAUUACGAAGGGCGAUCAUGCAAGAAGCGCAUCAAUCUCCCUAUAGUAUACACCCCGGCGGCACAAAAAUGUACAAGGACUUGAAAGAGCACUAUUGGUGGCCGGGUAUGAAAAGAGACAUUGGGGAGUUUGUGGCGCAAUGUUUAACGUGCCAACAAGUAAAAGCCGAGCGCUGAUUUCCAGCGGGAAAGCUACAAAGUCUACCAAUACCCGUUUGGAAAUGGGAAGACGUAGCGAUGGACUUUGUUACCGGUUUGCCUCGAUCACAAGGCGGACAUGAUGCAAUAUGGGUGAUAGUGGAUCGAUUGACAAAGUCGGCACGCUUCUUGCCGAUACAUACUACGUGGUCGGGAGACAAGCUAGCGCAAGUUUAUCUCGACGAGGUGGUGAGACUUCAUGGGGUCCCAGUGUCGAUCGUGUCGGAUCGCCACCCCCGGUUCACAUCCCACUUUUGGAAGAGUUUGCAAGACGCGCUAGACACGCGGCUCGACUUCAGUACGGCGUUUCACCCUCAAAGCGAUGGACAGUCGGAGCGGACGAUACAAAUCCUUGAGGAUUUGCUUCGAGCGUGUGUGCUGGAUUACAAAGGAGGAUGGCAUGAUUUCUUGCCUAUGGCGGAGUUCGCCUACAAUAAUAGCUAUCAAGAAAGCAUAGCGAUGGCGCCAUAUGAGGCACUAUAUGGACGUAAGUGUUGUUCUCCUAUCCAUUGGAGUGACGUGGGCGAGAGAGCGGCUCUUGGCCCGGAUGUAGUGCGGGAGGCGGAAGAGAAAGUUCGCCUUGCCCGUCAACGGUUGGCGAUGGCACAAUCUCGGCAAAAGAGUUAUGCCGACAAGCGAAGAAAGGAUUUAGAGUUUGCAGUUGGAGACCGUGUAUUUUUGAGAGUAUCGCCGAUGCGAGGAGUCAAACGAUUUGGGGUCCGUGGGAAGUUAAGUCCCCGUUAUGUCGGACCAUUUGAGAUAUUGGAGCGUGUGGGUGUGGUAGCAUACAAACUCGCACUACCACCGAGACUCGCGGGAGUUCAUAAUGUCUUCCAUGUGUCCAAUCUCCGAAAGUAUAUUCGCAAUGCGACACAUGUAUUAGAGUACGAGCCCGUGGAGCUACGUGAGGAUAUGUCCUACGAGGAGUACCCGGUGUGCAUCCUCGAUAGAGAAGUGAAGAAGUUGCGAAGUCGCAAGAUUCCAUAUGUAAAAGUCUAAUGGAGCAACCAUGAUGUGCGAGAAGCCACUUGGGAGCUCGAGGAAACUAUGCGGCGAGAGUACCCGCAUCUAUUCGAAUCGACGAGCUAAGGUAUGCGUAAUUUCGCGGACGAAAUUAUUUUAAGGGGUGGAGAAUGUAAUAUACCGAAAAUUCAGAAAAUAAAUAUCGAACUUUAGUCAAAUUGACCAAAGUGUGAGGAUGGUACACUUCGGAAAGUCCGAAGGUGUUAAAAUGAUUAAAAGUGAGUUACGGGAGGUUUUCGAGAGCUAAAGAAUCAAAUUCUGCAAAACUGCAGAUUUUGAGCUCUCGGAGACCGGUCCCUGGUGGGAGAGACCGGUCCCCGAACGCGUGCAGAAUGAGACAGCCGAAAAAUCGGCUAAGUCCUGGAAGGUUAGCUCUCGGGAACCGGUCCCUGCCUGAGAGACCGGUCCCCGAGAGACCGGUCCCCUAAGGAGGGACCGGAUGCAUUGCGCGUGGCAGCUCUGGCUGCGCAGGGUGGACCUACGGGGACCGGUCCCUUCGGGGACCGGUCCCUGCUCGGGGAGACCGGUCCCUGCCUGCGAAAACUGCCCAGUCCAGGCUGUGUGAAAUAGUGAAAGUUGAGGGGUUUAUUAGCAUUUUUGCAGCCCAAUGGUUAUGUUAUGAGGGUAAAUGAGAUUUUCUCUCAUUUCCUCACCCUCUCACACUCUCUUCUCUCCCUCUCUCUCUCUAGAAGACAAAGGAGAAGAAGAAGAAAGGAAGAAAGGAAGAAAAAGAAGAAAAAGAAGCUGAAGAAGAAGAUCAAGGAGCAAAGGAGCUUCAUCUUCUUCCUCUCUAGUGCAAGUUAGGGCAAGCCUUGAGGUAAGCUUUGCCCCUUUUCAUGAUAACUCCCAAACUAGGGUUUGGGUAAACCAAGAAAUGGGUUUUAUAGAGCUUUUAGAGUAUUUGAAGCUUUCUUAUUGCUUCUUUAGAGAUCAAAACCAUGGUUGAGCUCAAGGUGAGCUUCAACCCACCUCUAAUGGUGAAAUCCAAACUAGGGUUUGGAGUGAGCUAGGGAUGGUUCUAAUGAACUAUUUAGAGUAUAAUGAAGCUACUUUUGCUUCUCUUAGAGAUCAAACCCUAGGUUUGAUAUGUGUAUUGGAGCUAGGGCACCAAAUUGGGGCUUUUGCUCAUGGGGACUUCUAAGUGCAAUUGACCCUCUAAAAUCCUAAUUGGGGGUAUUUCCGACGCGUUGGUGCGCUCGGAUUUACGUUACGAAAAGCCGAUGUAAAGUUAUAGGCAAAAUGGCCUAAUAAGGGUUCGUUUUGCCGCAGGUAAAGAACGAAGCAUCUAAAAAUCCCAAGAAAAUCAUCGGAGCACCUUUGAAAGCCUACGAGGUGGGUGGUGCUUCUCAAACUCAUUGAACUUCUCUCUAUGCCUAAUGUGUCAUUCAUUUGAGCAUGUGUAAUAUAUAUUGUUGCAUGCAUAUUAGGGUAAAGUAAAGAUGAGAAUGUGAUGAUAGCAUGAUUGUGAGUACAACUUGCUUGUAAUGAUGGUAGAGAACCAAAUAAAUGUCAAAACCCUAAGUGUAUGCAUUAGAGAAAUAGUGAGCACCCAAAGUGAGCAAAAGAACAGAGUGACACUAUGACAUAGAUCGAGUGGCAUUUGAAAAUGUAAAGUAAAGAGACACUAGAGUUAGUGUGAUGCAAAGAACCAAAGUGAUGAAAAGAAUGAUGAAAAUGACAAUGUGUAAAGUAAAGUAAAGUGGGGCAAUAAGAACAAGUAUUGUAACGAACAAGAAUGCUAGAGUUAGCAAGAGUAAAGAAAUGUAAAGAAUCGUAAUUCAUGAGUUUGCAACAUAAAGUGAUGUGAAGAAGAACACUAGCAGCUAUGUGUAAAGUCGAAGAUUGAACUUAAAUCCUUUGACGUUAAGGAUAGUCAUACUUUGCUAUGAGUUCCGUGCUCCGAGGUCGUCGGCUCCCCCUCGGGCGUAUGCGCUCCGGAGUGGUUGGCAUCCGGUCGGAGUAACCGAAGGACGGUCUCUAGCUGGUGGUUCUGCUGCGAUGAAUGGGACUUAAUGUGAAGCAGUCAAUUGUGCGCGAUUACCCCGGGUAGCCUUGAGAUUUAAAGAACAAAGAGUAAAGAACAAAGAUACAAGAACAAAGAGCAAGAUAAAGACACACAGUACAAAGUAAAGCAAAUAACGAAAAAGCAAUUCGCAUAAUCUGCAUUUAUUUACAUGUUAUGAGACUAACUUCUAUUGCUUAUUGUUCAGCAUAUUACAUCAUUGUAUAAUAGAUUGUACUCAUACAGCUUAUUCUUAUCUCUAUGCGCUGGAGUUAGUCCAGUGGGGCAAGUCGGUGAUGUUGAGGCCGAACCACUGGGAAACUUUUGUUGUAUGUUCUCACCGCCACUAUUUCAACGAAGAGGCCGGGACAGCGAGCGCCGAUGGCGACCAGGUAAACGUAUCCGACUUAGUCACAGGCCACCACAGUUGGGUUCAUUUGUAGUCAAAGUACCCUAUGUCCAUCCUUUUGUACUUGAUGAUGAAAUGAUGUAAAGAAAAAAAUAUAAUGUGUCAUUUUUGAGGUAAAUUGUCGAAAUUGAAGAAAGGAAAAAUGAUGAAACGAAAUGUAAGGAUUCGAAAAUUUACAAGUUGGAUGUAUGUAAGCAUACCAGAUCUUUGUAUCCAAAAUAAAAUAACAUAAAAAUAGUGUGAAAACUAUUUUUAUUGGGAUUGUAGAAGUAAAAUAUAUGGUAGAAGUGACUUUAUGCUGAAAUCGGAAUGAAAACAGAAGAUCUAGAAUUUUCUGUUGGAAACGGACACGAUAAAUUAGCAGAAAAUGCACAGUCUCAAGAAAAUUUAUGAAUGAUUGGAGAAAAUGUCAGAAAUAUUUUUAAUGAGGCUAGAUGUUAAGUUCAUAUUUUGUUUGACACCGUCAGAGCUUUGAGAAAUAAAAUCCGACAGUUAUCUGAUAAAGUUACAGUUCGGUCAGUUUUUCAGUGACCAAACGGAGCGGAGUAUACACCCAAGCCCCCGUCGCUUUGGCUUAAAAAGAAAGAAGGAAAUAAGAUCAAUGUGGAUAUUAUAGGAUCAAGAACACGUGAGAAAAUACAUCAGGCGAUCAGUAGCUUGUAUAAUGUUAAGUAGAAAAUCGGAACGAUGACUGUCAGAGUCUCGAGAGUCUCAACACGGACAUUCAGGAGCUCGGCGCCGUGUGUGUGUUGAUGUUCGCGAAGCACCCCACAGGGAGGUGUUUCCUGGGGGAAAUUGUGUGUAGCAACCCCACAAAAGUGAAAUAGUGUAAUUGUGGGUUGCUAAUAUAUAGCAGUGUUGACUCUCUUAUUAUGUCUUUCAGCGCCGCACACCACAACACACACGGCGCAUGGAGGGGAGAGGGAGAAAACCUACCUAUCUCUCUCUAGAAGAUCUUCUCAAUCUUCUCUAAAUCUCUCUCUAAAAAUUGGAGGGUUUGGUGGAGGAUAGAUGCUUGCCGGAACGCAUUGGAGGCGACGGAUCGAGCUUCUGUCGCCGUAGGGAGCGGACGUAUUUUCGUAACAACCCGCGGCGGUUCACAUUGACGGUAAGCUUUUGGGAUUUCGGCUUAUCCUUAGUUUUAAUGUAGUUGUCUAAUAGCCUUCUAAUAUGAGCAUUAUACAACAUGUUUGCCUCUAUUUAUUUGGAUAUAUUUAGAGAGUUUAAAUUGCUGUUAGGGCCGUCGCAUAGGCCGGUUUUAUAAAAAUGUAAUGGGGUAUUGUUAUAUUGACCCCAGUCCAGUAAACCAAAUUACUGCUAGCAGUAAAAUGUGGUGUGCCGUGUUUGGCGAAAGACGGUUCGGGCAAUGCCGACGACGCCGUUUACAAGUGAUUUAUAAGAAAUUGGACGUUUAGCUGGUUCGGGUUCCGCCGGGCGGGCGAAUGGCGAUAUGUAAAUUCUAUGAAAAUGGAUUUGAAAGCAUCGAGUAGGCCACAUAACCGAAGACCUUUAAUUUUCGGAUCGUGAAUUGAGGCAAAGUUCGGUGGUAUUGGCUCGAGCGUGAGAGAUCGGCGCAGAACGGGCUGCCGGUGGCUAGUUGCCCGGUCGAGGCCGAUUGCACCAGAGGUGUCGACCGAAGCAAUCGAAUUCCGAAAUGAGGUGGUGUUGAUGCUUACCGUAAGCGACUAGGCCCUUUAGUCUAAGAAAUGAGAUUUCAUAUUUGAUGCAUAUUAUAUAUAUUAAAGAAUGAGGAAAAGAAUGCAUGUUUAAAUUACUAUGAAGUGUCUAAAUGGUAAUGCAUAAUGAAUUAAUUGCUAAAAGGAGAUUACAUGGAUGCUAAGUAUGGACUAUUUGUUGGAUAAUGACUAUAUGCUAUGUGACAAAUCAUGUGAUGCUGUGGAUUAUGUGGCAUGAUGAGUACUAUUAUGAGUUUACAUUAUUGUGAUUAUGUUAAUAGAAAAACAUACUUGCAUGACAUAUUGCCAUGUUGUGGAACAUAGUGGUACGAAUCUAGUAUAUGUAUCCUAUGAUCGAGUGCAUUAACCUUGCAUCUUGAACUGAGCAAAACACUGUGUCGUUGAAUUGAUCAUAUUAUUCUGGCGUUCAUUCAUGUAGUGUUAGAAACCCUAUUAUUGUGUAAAUGUGCAGACGUUGGAGUUGAACAUUAGUAACAAGCGGUGACAAUGACAAUUAGCAGACACGAUGGCAUAAGAAAUGGUGAUGUGUUAAACAUAGAUUUUAACCAUAUGAUAGUUGGUCCAAGUUGAAUAGAGUGGCGAUGUUAAAAUAGAGUAGGAAACUAUUGUGACAUUGGCUUUGUGACUAGUGGCUAUAGUAUCCUCAAGUUGAGUUGAUUGGAUCGACACUCACGAUUAAGUCUUGGGCUGAGGGAGGUAGUUCCCCCUUCGGGCGGUGCGCUCCGGAGUUGGUCACCACUGGGCGUGGUAAAGUCCCACCAGUUGACGGUCCCUAGGGAGGUUCGAGUCCCCCGUUAUUAAGGGAUUUGGUUGUGAGUUAUUGGGGUUAACAUGGUUAACCGGUAAGAUUGGGUCAUAGCCAAAUGAGUGUACAACAAGUAUGCAUUAUGAGUUAUGGAUUUGGUAUCCUAGUCGAGAGGAUCUAGGGCUGAGGUGUAUGUGAGACGUCCAUCGCCUCGAGCCUGGUUCUAGUGCGGUACUCCGCAGACGAUUGACUCAAGACCGAGUCGGGUGGUUAGCCUUGUAAAGGUAAAUGAAACUUUAUGAUUAAAACGGUGAUUGACAAGAAUCUAAGAUAGAGGAAACCUUAGAUAUCGAAUGGAUGAGCUAUGGUUAGCAGAAUUGAAAGUAGUGUCAAAUGAACUGCUAGUUGGUUGCAUAGUUGCAUUAUUGCAUGAUUUGCAUAUAGCAUUGCAUUAUUGCGUUCGUGAGGCAAAGCAUGGUUUUAUUAGUUGCAUACUAAAGAUAUAUAUCUAUCUGUUUAUUGAACUAACUUGCAGUUGCCUCUCUUGGACCUAUUGGUCGAGCUUUUCCCUUGGGUGGCCGUACCCACUGGGAACCAUGGAGUUGGUUCUCACCCCACGUGGUUUUGGGGUUUUUACAGGUUCGCACGUGAGCGGCGCGGCGGCGCGAGGCGAGGGCGUAGCUCCAUAGUUAGCGCCCUACCACCGAGACCAGAGAUAGUGAUACCCUAAGUCGGCCUUACUUAGAGAUGUAAAGAAUGAAAUAAUCAAGUUGUAAUAAUUAUAUUAAAUCGGAUUGUAUUUGGAAGUUAAAUGUAAUAAGUAUUUGGGAUGUAAAAAUGUAUGAAUAUGAAUGAAUGUAAUAAUAUAGGAUGUGUUUAUGUUGUUUGAUACCUUCCAUUAUGCAAUCCUUGAUUGAAAUGUGUUCCUGGUUGGAACUUCGCACAUUGUAUUGAUUGCUAUGCCUUGAACGUACAGGGGAGACUCUGUCCGCAGUACAGGGGAAACCCUGUCCGUUCGGCGAUCUGUCGGCGGCGCCGCGACCCGGCCAAAUAGGUGGGCGAUCGCGGGGCGUGACAAUGUAUGUAUAUGAUCUAAAUUGAAUCAUACUACAAGCGAAUGUUUAGUUUUCCUUUCUUUCACUAAUGGCUAUUGCUUACCCUCGUGUAAGCCGUUUGUGUAUGUUUCCGCUAGUGCUUUUCUCUAUUGAUGAAAAUGUACAUGUGAUGAGCCUUGGGCGGACAGGGGAAACUCUGUUCGUUCGGCGUCUGUUUGACGUGCUCGGGUCGGGCCAAAUUGGCAUCGGUCCCGGGGCGUGACACUUUGUGGCAAAGUGCUUAACAUGCCAACAAGUGAAGGCCGAGCGUCGAUUUCCAGCGGGAAAGCUUCAAAGCCUACCAAUCCCCGUUUGGAAAUGGGAGGAUAUAUCAAUGGACUUCGUGGUCGGCUUGCCUCGCUCAACGGGCGGCCACGAUGCGAUUUAGGUGAUUGUGGACCGAUUGACAAAGUAGGCUCACUUCUUGCCGAUCCACACCACGUGGUCGGGAGACAAGUUAGCGCAGGUGUACCUUGACGAUAUAGUGAGACUGCAUGGGGUGCCGAAAUCGAUCGUGUCGGAUCGUGACCCCCAGUUCACUUCACACUUCUGGAAGAGCCUGCAGGAAGCCCUUGGCACACGGCUCAACUUUAGCACCGCAUUUCAUCCUCAGACCGAUGGGCAAACAGAGAGAACUAUUCAAACUCUGGAGGAUAUGUUGCGAGCGUGUGUCAUCGACUACAAGGAAAGUUGGUAAGACCACCUACCUAUGGACGAGUUCGCCUACAACAACAGUUAUCAUGCUAGUGUAGAGAUGGCACCGUUCGAGGCUUUCUAUGGGCGGACGUGUCGGUCUCCUAUACACUGGAGCGAUGUAGGUGAGCGUGCUGAGUUCGGCCCCGAUGUGUUGCGAGAGGCGGAAGAGAAAGUCCGCCUUGCUCGCAAGAGAUUGCUCACGGCGCAGUCGAGACAGCAAAACUAUGCAGAUAGGCGCCAUCGAGAUAUAGAAUUCACGGUAGGCGACCGCGUAUUCUUGAAAGUUUCACCGAUGCGGGGUGUGAAGCGGUUUGGAGUGCGGGAAAAACUAAGCCCCCGAUACAUUGGACCAUAUGAAAUAUUGGAGCGAGUCGGCACGGUAGCUUACCGACUUGCUCUACCGCCGAAGCUUGCGGAUGUACACAAUGUGUUCCAUGUCUCCAAUCUCCGCAAGUACAUUCACGACCCCGAGCAUGCGAUGCUAUAUGAACCGCCGGAACUUUAAGGAGACUUGAGCUAUGAAGAGUUCUGGUAGGGAUUAUCGCCCGAGAGGUGCGAAAGUUGAGGAAUCGAGAAAUUCCCUAUGUGAAGGUCAGGUGGAGCAAUCACGAGGAUCGCGAAGCUACCUAGGAACUCGAGGAUUUGAUGAGAAAACACCAUCCUCAUUUAUUUGAGGAGUAAGGUAUGGAUUUAAGUUGAAAAUAAAGAAUUGAGUUCGUUUCGAGGACGAAACUCCUUUUAAGGAGGGGAGGAUGUAAAGAAGUGAAUUCUCGAAAUCCGAGGAUUGUACUUUAUCCAGGAUCGACUGACUGUCGAGAGAAUGCCCUUUGUGGAAGCUAAGAAUGUCCAAAGCACAAAAUGUGCCUUGGAGUUGAGUCCGUGAGAGCAAAUAAGGCAAACUGCAUCGUUAGGCUAAUGUUGCUCUCGGGGACCGGUCUCUGCAGGUGAGAGACUGGUUCCCUUGGCUGGGUGUUGCGGGGUUGCAUGAUGCAACCGGUCCCUGGUAGGGAGGGACCUGUUCCCGAACGUUGCCCCAGCGAGAAAUGCCAAAAAUUGGCUAAGUCCUGAAAAUUUAGCUCUCGGGGACCGGUCUCUCAGGUGAGGACCGGUCUCCCGAGGACCAGUCUCCCAGGGAGAGACCGGUUCCCGAACACGUGCGCCCGAGGGAAGCUCUCGGGGACCGGUCCCAAGUCGGGGAGACCGGUCCCUCCGCGCGAAAACUGCCCUGUAAGGGCAGUGCACAGGAGUAAAAGUUGAGGGGCUUUUAUGCAAAAUGGCUUUUAUUUGAGUGGGCUGAGCCCUCUCUCUCCCUCACACUCAUCUCAUUUCACUCUCUCCCACUCUCUUUCUCUCUUGCUCUCUCUCUCUAGAAAAGAAAGGAGAAGAAGAAGAACAAGAAGGAGAGGAAGGAAAAGAAGAGGAAGAUAAGGAAGGAGAAGAAGAAGAAGAUCAAGAGGAAGGCUUUGAGCACCUCCAUCUCCCUCUCCUCUUCUCUUUGAUGUAGCACAAGAGGUAGGCUCUUGAACCCUAGCUUGUAAAACAUAGGGUUUUGGGUUUUUAUGCCUUGGAAUGGGUCAAAUGAACCCUAAAUAAGCUUCUAAAUAGAUCAAUCCCAAGAAAUCUAGGGAUUUAUUGGUGGUUUGCUAUAGGUGCAAACCUAGGGAUCCAAAAUGGGGUUUUUAUGAAAGUGUGAGAUUGAUCUCAUUUGAAGCCUUGGAAACCCUAUUGUUAGGUCACGAAUCGUGGGGGCGAAGUCGGUUUUAGCGUUCGGCGAGCCGGCGUGAAGUUCUCGGCAAAAUAGGACCGGGAUAGUGUGGAAUUGGGUAAGGAAGGCUAAAGCCUUUUCGUAAAGCUCGCUGAGGAGCAUUUUCCAAGCCUCUACAUCGAUUAAAGGUGGGGGGUGCCAUCCCGAAGCUUUCGAACUCCUUUCUAUGUCUUAGAUUGCAGUUAAUCUCAUCUCUUCAUGUUGCAUUGUAGGAUUGCAUAGUAGCACCAUUCCUUAUGCUUUCUAAAUGAUAACCUAGUGUACUUGGAAUGCUUGGUAACUUAGAUAGGUGAGGAUUGGGUCGGAACGCGGAUCCUAUGAUGCGAAAGAUAGGGAUGAACCCGAUGGGGGUGUUGAUGACAUAGAAAGUAGUGUAAAAUGUUAAAGAACAAACGAGUGGCAUCCAAAUGUUAUCCCUAGUAUUCUUAUGUACAAACUCUUUGGGAUCUCCGAGCCUAAAGUAAGAUUUGGAUAAAAGAUGUUUAAUCGGAGAAAUCUAGUUUAGCUCUAUAGCAAAGCGUAAGAGUUAUACAGCUAAACUAGAGGCGAAACGAACCUCAAGAUAAGGGACCAAAAGAUGUUGUGAGGUUUCGCUUCCUAGUGGUAUAAGUACUAUGAGAAGUACCACCGCAGCACCUAAGCCGCAUAAACUGCCGCCAAGCACCUAAGCCUAGCACCCGAGCACCUAAGCUCACCGCAGCACCUAAGCCGCACUAACUUCGAAGCACCUAAGCUUCACCUCCGCAAGCACCUGAGCCUGCACUCCCGCACCUGUUGGGCCUCCCAUCGCGCUUCUAAGUAUCCUCCAAUUCUCUCCAAUUCAGGCACCUCAGCCAUUAGUGGAACAUUAGAAAAGAGAAUCACUUAAUAAAAAAGCGCACAACCAGGGCACCCAAAAAGAGGUUCAACCUCAAAAGGGUGCAUUUAGAGCCACACAAAAAAAAUAAAAGGCGUAAAUAAAAAUAACGUAGCUCUAAACACCAAAAACCGGCAAGUGGAUAAGUGGGGGGAGAUCCACUAUCUAUGUUAGAUCUAUCUAGGAACCCGAGGAGUUUUGAAAGUGAUGCCUGGAGGUACACCAGGCCUGGAGGUUCACCAGGAUCAGCGUGCUGUGAGGCCUCAUAAGCUGCUGUUAGGGGAGGUACACCCCUAACCUACCGAUAUGGUAGGGUUUGCGUCUGACACUCGAUCUAGAUAGGAGAGGUUCACUCCUAUGGGAUGUAGAUCCCAGUUAUGGGUUAGGUUAGGAGAGGUUCACUCCUACGUGAUAUGGACCCCAGGUGUUGGGUUAGUUUAGGAGAGGUUCACUCCUACGAGAUAUUGAUCUCAGUUGUAAAGAGCGCCCUAGUAACCAAGGGCUGUAAGUACGUUACGAUAAAUCGAAAAGAUUUAAGUAACAAGUGUUCCGUAAAAGAUUCCCUAGGUGGAUAGGGAUCCAGGUAGCUGGAGAUCACAGUAAUGUGAUGUAAUUACGGUGAGCAGUAGUAAGCCCUAAGGCUCGCCCAUGGCUCACCUUUCAAUCCCAAGUGGGAGGGAGCUCAAGUGCACCAAGCCCGGACUGUCUACGUUUAAGGAUUCGUUGUAUUGGCAAGUUUCGUGAAGUGAGUCGGAGUCUUGAAGAGAUCGAAGCGAUUGACAAGAUCAAAGAAUUCAAGAUUUCGCGAAAAAUCAGAAAAUACCUCACGAUGUGAUCACGAUGGUCAGGUAAGUUUAAUUCAUGUUUGGUGAUUCACACUUAAUUAUAGGCAUUAGAUCAUUUAAUCAAAGUUUGGUUAAUUAGAAAGUGCCUUUGGAACAGUGCGGAACCUGAAACGAUGCAAACACGAAAAUUGCAUUGUGUACCGGUACAGCAAUUGACCACGUACCGGUACACGCCAUCACAUUGCUAUCGUUUUUUCGUUCCGUCAUUAUGUACCGGUGACAGCCUUUCGGUGUACCGGUACACAGUGGUAAACCGUGGAAACUUUCUAAUCGAAUCCCGAUUGAUUCUAAAGUCUAUAAAUAAGCUAUUGGUGCCUUCCUCUUAACAGAUGAAGUAUCAUAAGAUAACAUGUUUGAGAAACCCUAGAGGACUCGGAUUUUAAUUUAAACUCUAUUUCUACAAUUAGCCUCUUUAGAUCAAAAUCGAGAUAUCGUUUCGCCUUCUCUAUAUGUACGAUUUGAUCUCCCUUCGCCUAUGGAGUCUUCUUCCUUGGUUUUCUCGAUACUCCUAAGCGAAGGCAUCACCAUAGUCAUGAUUGCUCUUCAUGAACGGCGUCAGUGAUUCGGCGUGAACAAAGGCAGGUUCGUGGAUUCGGAUCGUGUGGGUCCGUGGUGGGCGUCGUGGAAUUCGGCGAUGAAGCUUCGUGGGAUUCGAUAGUGGAGGCGGUUCGUGGACUUCGAGUGAGUGGAGGUGGACAACCGAAGUCCCGGAGGUAGCGCGAAGAUUCAUAGGAGGUUAAGGAGGUUAACGCUCCGGUGGAGUCGCGGUAAUCACCUGGUAAUCUAUUUCUCUUAGAUGAAUAUCUUUUUUUCGCAGUGUUGUCCCGUGUGGUUUUUCUCCAAGUUGAGUUUCCCACGAAAUCUCGGCGUGUGUUUUCUUUAUCUAUUCCGCAUUUAUUUUUUAUCUGCUCGAGAUUUAUUGAUUUCUUCUGCCGUUCAUCUAUCUCACCCCCUCUAGGUGAUCCAACAUCAAUCUAGUAGACCUUAGGCCUCCUCAAAACUUUCUACGGACCUCCAUGUGGUCCGGCCUCCAAGCGGGUCUGUCGCACGGCACACUCCGGAGUAUUCGACGACAAUCCCUCCAUGUGGGGAUUGGAUGCACUAUACCAUCCACGAGACUGUGAGUAUCUAUCCUCUCACAAGUGAGGAUACCUCUACAUCCUAGCGGGUCAUAACCCAAUCCAAUCUCUCCAAGUGAGGAUGCCUAUACCUGGGGUGUCCACAGACCCCAAUCAAUCCUCUCCAAGUGAGGAUGCUCCUAUACUAGAGUCAACAUUUCUCGCGCAUUGUUCCGACAUNNNNNNNNNNNNNNNNNNNNNNNNNCUCGCCACAGAUUGGGUAAAUGGAAAGGUUAAAAGUUUAUUAAUGUCAUUGAACAUUGCUAUUCGAACACGGAUCGAAUUUGUUAGCAUGGUAGCAAACCUUUAUUAUAUGAUGCAUGCAUUCAUAUUCAUGAUUAUGGGCAUAGUAGCAUAGUUUUUCUACUAUUGCAUUUACAGCUUUCCGAUACAUAUCUAUCUAUCUAUCUAUCUGUUGUUACUUGUGCCCACUUGGACCUAGUGGGGAGAUCGGCAGAGUCGGCGGCCGAGCCCACUGGGAACUACGGAAGAUAGUUCUCACCCCACUCUAUUUCCAGUGGUAGGUUCAGGGCUGCAGAGAGAGGACCGCGGCAAGGGCAUCGCGCCCGACCAGUGAGACCGUGGUAGUAUAGUAGCUUUCCUUUUUGCAUUAGUCACCUAUGUAUAGAGAGAGAGAUUCAAUGUAGGUGAGGAUUUGGAGAGCUUUGUAUUUUGGAUGACAAAUGUAUUCAUUUAAAGAAAAUGAUGUAAUGAGAAGGUUGGAACUAAUGUAAUAGUUAGUAAAGUACUCUCUUUAUUUCACUUGUUUUAUCUUGUGGAUCGCUUGCUCUUUGUAUUGUUGGCACUGUUUGUGCCCUUGUGAAUGUGUAUGCUUAGAAUUAAAUUUUCUAGGUAAAUUCUUGUACACAUUCCUGUUGUUAUGCCUUGGGCGGACAGGGGAGGUGCUGUCCGUUCGGCGGCCCGCCGCCGCGGCCGAACCGUGCCAAAUUGGUAGUGGUUUCGGGGCGGGGCGUAACAUUAGGCAAGUUGGCCUAGUCGAUUUGGUAGUAACAUGAAUAGCAUAAGUGGAUUGCAUUCAUACCAUGAUUAGACACAGUAGACAGCAUAACCAUGUUGUAGUUGUAUUCAUUACACUGUUGAGACAUAGUAGCAUGAUAGUAGGUUAUUGCUAGAUGAUGUUCCAUGCAUUCUUUGCAUUUCAUGGCACAGUAGAUAUAGUAGCAGUUUAUUUCUAUCUACCUUUCUAUCUAUCUAUCUGUACCAGCUUGGACCUAGUGGGAAAAUCGGCGGAGUCGGCGGCCGAACCCACUGGGAACUAUAUUUAUAUAGUUCUCACCCCGUGUGGUUUUGGUGUACAGGUAUACACGAGAGCUGACCGGCAGAUGAUCGCGGCAAGGGCUUAGCGCCCUAGUGCUAGUUUGUAGAUGCUUUCCUAUUGCAUUAGUUGUCACCCUAUAUACUUGAGAGUAGAUGAUGUAUAGGUGUGAGGCUGUUUUGGAAAAUGUAAACUUUAAGUUUAUGUUGUAUUUUGGCAUAAUGUAAAGUUAAUCAAAUGUAUAAAGUUGAAUGGAUGUAAUAGCAUAGUCUCUCUCUCUUUUAUUCACUUGUAUGUUCUUUACUCGUUACGCUUGCUCUUGUAAUGUUUAGCACUGUUUGUGCUCUCGCUAUUGUUGUAUAAUCGUGUAUAUAUUCAAGUUGAUUUCCUGGGUACUUGUUGUACAUGAUCUCGUCGCUUUAGCCUUGGGCGGACAGGAGGGGUGCUGUCCGUCCAGCGUCUGUUCGACGCGCCCGAGCCGGACCAAAUUGGUAGUGGGCCCGGGGAGUGACAGCUACAGCCAUCACACUCUCUCGGCUAACUCACAUCCGCACUCUACGAGUAUCUACACUCUAACGCUCUAUACGCUAAUAUCCAGGAUUAGGCGACUUUGCCCAAACUUGGCACUAAGCAACCAUUCUCUCAACAGUGAUUUCGCUUUCACUGUUCGAUCUACCGGGACUACAUCCGAAAUUCCCAAGCUACUCGGGUAUCUACACAUAUC